CCGAUCCACCUCCAGGAAGUAUGGAGGAACUCGUGAAUUUAUUCAAGGGAGCUCGUUGCCAUUUUGAGCUAUGGAAGAUAUCAACAUGUCAUGAAGGCACACAAGAGGCCUGGGCCAUGGUGAAAACGCGGUACACCAGACUUGAUCCGAACCAUAUGGCCCGGGUCGGACCUCAGGGACCAGAUGGACAUGAGAUUCCUGUUAGCUAAGUGUACGACCAAGUAAAGAUAGCUGCUAAGUUUUCUAAACAGGAUUGUAAACUAGACAACAUGUUAGAUGGUCUAGAGGAGGAAGAAGUUUUUGAGUCAAAGUAGUAAUGUACUUUUAUCAACAAACUUAUCUCCAGCUGAACUGUAAAAUGAUUGUCAUGGCAGACUUUCUGCUUCGACCUCCGAAACCCGAGGUUUGGAGUGUUUCCGGAUAUUAUACCGUCAGUAAACACCAAAGUAUGUUCAGAAACCAGGCAGUCCAGUCAUAGUUGCUUGAACAGACAAGUUGUAUUCGGGGAGUUAUGUUAUAUUACAUUUGAUCGUAAGAAACAUCUUCCAGAGAGAAUAGUUUCGUUAAGGGUUCCUUUCCCUGGGAUAGCAUGCGUUUUUGUGCAUGUCAUAGCUGUAAUGCUAAGAAUCACAGUACAUGCUAUAAUUUGGGGGCUUAUAUUGCUGCGAGGGCAGUUCGUCUUUUGUCUGCCGACCAAUUAUUCUGUUAAGAACGCUAGCUUUUGGCUUCACUCGUCUGUGGUACACAUUCGGAAAACCCGGCUGUAACAAUCGCAGAGGUGCUCCCUUUAUGCCCUAGCCGAACAAGCGGGAGCGUAGGGCAUAAGCACAGGAGCCAGGCAACCCAGCUUGGCAAAAACUUAAGUCAUAAAGGUGCAUAUAAUGGCAAAGACAAGACACAUAUGAAUAGACAACACAUAUAUAUGGUGAGAUUGAUGCUCGAAUAAUAAUAAUGAUAAUAAGCUUCUGUGAAAAGAAGCCCCCAGGUAUUAUGGGGAUGUACAUUUAAUGAUGUUUACCCUGCAAGUGUGCGGUUUAUCCGAACACUGGCUAGAAGUUGUAUAAAAACGAAAACAAAAAGGUGAGAGGGAGAAAGAAAGGACGAACAAAAAAAGGUAUAAGUGCGAACUUAGGCGUAGAAUAUUCAGAGCCGGGCAACGUUCCAUGGGUUUGGUUCUAGACGAUUAUCCGAAGCGUUGCGAAGGCGAUAGGCUCCUCUAGUGAGAACUUCAUCUAUAAUGAAGGGACCCUCCCAUUUGGGCUUGAGCUUGUCUUUUUUCUUCUUUGUAGGCGUAGAACGAGUUUACCGACAUUAUAAGUCUUUUCCCGUACUUCCCUGCUUUGAUAUCGCCGAGCUUGUUGUUGGUAGAAUGCGGAACGGGCCUUCGCAACAUCAUGCUCUUCCUCCAAGCCAUCCAGAUCAUCCUGUUGAUCGAGCUCGGCCUCUCUCUCCUCGUACAUGCGCACUCGAGGUGAGUCAUGAAUAAUUUCGCAAGGCAAAACUGCCUCCCUGCCGUACACCAUGAAAAAGGUGUAUAUUCGAUCGUGCGAUUGGGCGUGGUCCGCAACCCCCAGAGUACAGAAUCGAGUUCUUCAACCCAGUGCUUGUAUGAUUCUUGCAGAGAUCACACUAAUCUGGGUUUGAUGCCGCUCAUUAUCAGACCAUUAGCCCAUUCGACCUGACCGUUUGUCUGAGAGUGAUACACGGAGGCGUAAUCGAGCUUGAUGCCCAAAUUAGUGCACCGGCUUUUCACCUCAUCGGCUAUAAAGUUAGAACCGCUGUCAGUAAUUGAAAGUGCAACUAUCCCUGGGUGGUUUUGGUAAUGAUUAACAACAUAUAGCUCAUUGAACUAAUGUAAUUUCAAGAUAAAUAUUUCAGGAAAGUUCAAUGAUUGGCAUGGCAUGGAUAAGGAAUGUGGACCCCUCAAUAUGCUAAGGACAAAAGAUUGGCUCAAGCUCCAAAGUCCAAGACUCUACAUUUUCUAUUUUAGUGAUCCAAGAUCACAUUGAGUCUAUAGGAAAGCCAAUACUAUUAAAAGGGGAUAAGGUGUUGCUUAAUGGCUUGCUUGCUCAAAAUGCUUAGUGAUAUGUGCUACGUCUUGAGCUUGCGUUGGUUUUCCUUGAAGAGGAAAGGGUGAUGCAGCAAUAGUAACGUAAGUAUUUCCCUCAGUUUUUGAGAGCCAAGGUAUCAAUCCAGUAGGAGGCUCCUCAAAAGUCCCACGCACCUACACAAACAAACAAGAACUCGCAACCAAUGCAAUUAAGGGGUUGUCAAUCCCUUCACGACCACUUGCGGAAGUGAGAUCUGAUAGAGAUAAUAUGAUAAGGUAAAUAUAUUUUUGGUAUUUUAUAAUAUAGAUUGGAAAAGUAAAUAUGCAAAUAAAACUAGAUUGAAAGCUUAUAUGAUAAGAGAUAGACCCGGGGGCCAUAGGUUUCACUAGUGGCUUCUCUCAAGAUAGCAUAAGUAUUACGGUGGGUGAACAAAUUACUGUCGAGCAAUUGAUAGAAAAGCGAAUAAUUAUGAGAUUAUCUAGGCAUGAUCAUGUAUAUAGGCAUCACGCCCGUGACAAGUAGACCGACUCCUGCCUGCAUCUACUACUAUUACUCCACACAUCGAUCGCUAUCCAGCAUGCAUCUAGAGUAUUAAGUUCAUAAAGAACAGAGUAAUGCAUUAAGAAAGAUGACAUGAUGUAGAGGGAUAAACUCAUGCAAUAUGAUAUAAACCCCAUCUUUUUAUCCUCGAUGGCAACAAUACAAUACGUGCCUUGCUGCCCCUGUUGUCACUAGGAAAGGACACCGCAAGAUUGAACCCAAAGCUAAGCACUUCUCCCAUUGCAAGAAAGCCCAUAAACAUUCAAAAUGGGUAAUAUAAUAGCAUGGAACAAUCAAAAAUUAUAGAUACGUUGGAGACGUAUCAAGCAUCCCAAGCUUAAUUCCUGCUCGUCCUCGAGUAGGUAAAUGAUAAAAAUAGAAUUUUUCAUGUGGAAUGCUACCUAGCAUAAUUCUCAAUGUAAUUUUCUUUAUUGUGGCAUGAAUGUUCAGAUCCAAAUGAUUCAAAAUAAAAUUUCAUAUUGACAUAAGAAAUAGUAAUACUUCAAGCAUACUAAUCUACAUGGCUAAAGAAAGUUUAUCCCUACAGAAUCAUAUAGUUAGGUCAUGCUUCAUUUUCGACACACAAAAAUGCUCCCAUCUUGCACACACCCGAUGACAAGCCAAGCAAUUGUUUCGUACAUAAAUAAUCUCAAACCUUUUCAACUUUCACGCAAUACAUGAGCAUGAGCCAUGGAUAUAGCACUAUGGGUGGAAUAGAAUAUGAUGAUGGGGAUUGUGUGGAGAAGACAAAAAAGGAGAAAGUCUCACAUUGACGAGGAUAAUCAACAGGCUAUGGAGAUGCCCAUCAAUUGAUGUCAACAUGAGGAGUAGGGAUUGCCAUGCAACGGAUGCACUAGAGCUAUAAAUGUAUGAAAGCUCAACAAAAGAAACUAGUGGGUGUGCAUCCAACUUGCUUGCUCAUGAAGACCUAGGGCAUUUUGAGGAAGCCCAUCAUAGGAAUAUACAAACCAAGUUAUAUAAUGAAAAAUUCCCACUAGUAUAUGAAAGUGAUAACAUGUGAGACUCUCUAUAUGAAGAACAUGGUGCUACUUUGAAGCACAAGUGUGGAAAAGGAUAGUAACAUUGCCCCCUUUUUUUGUGGGGGGGGCUUUUUUUUAUUUGGCCUUUCCUUUUUUUGGCCUUUUUUAUUUGGGGACAAUGCUCUAAUAAUGAUGAUCAUCACACUUCUAUUUGUUUACAACUCAUGAAUUACAACCCAAAACUAGAACAAGAUAUGACUCUAUAUGAAUGCCUCCAGCGGUGUACCGGGAUGGGCAAUGAAUCAAGAGUGACAUGUAUGAAAAAUUAUGCAUGGUGGCUUUGCCACAAAUACGAUGUCAACCACAUGAUCAUGCAAGGCAAUAUGCCAAAGAUGAUGCGUGUCAUAAUGAUAAACGGAACGGUGGAAAGUUGCAUGGCAAUAUAUCUCGGAAUGGCUAUGGAAAUGCCAUAAUAGGUAGGUAUUGGGGCUGUUUUGAGGAAGAUAUAAGGAGGUUUAUGUGUGAUAGAGCGUAUCGUAUCACGGGGUUUGGAUGCACCGACGAAGUUUGCACCAACUCUCAAGGUGACAAAGGGCAAUGCACGGUACCGAAGAGGCUAGCAAUGAUGGAAGGGUGAGAGUGCGUAUAAUCCAUGGACUCAACAUUAGUCAAAAAAGAACUCAUAUACUUAUUGAAAAAAUCUACAAGUCAUCAAAAACCAAGCACUACGCGCAUGCUCCUAGGGGGAUAGAUUGGUAGGAAAAGACCAUCGCUUGUGCCCGACCGCCACUCAUAAGGAUGCACAAUCUAAGAACACCUCAUGUUUCAAAUUUGUUACACAACUUUCACCAUACGUGCAUGCUAUGGGACUUGCUAACUUCAACACAAGCAUUCUUUAAAUUCAUAAUCACCCAACUAUCAUGACUCUAAUAUCACUACCUCCAUAUCUCAAAACAAUUAUCAAGUAUCAAAUUGAUCAUAGCAUCCAAUUCACUUCCUAUGAUAGUUUUUAUUAUACCCAACUUGGAUGCCCAUCAUUCUAGGACCAAUUUUAUAACCAUAGCAAAUACCAUGCUGUUCCAAGAGACUCUCAAAAUAAUAUAAGUGAAGCAUGAGAGACUAAAAAUUUCUUCAAAAUUAAGCCACCGCCGUGCUCUAAAAGAUAUAAGUGAAGCACUAGAGCAAAAACUAUCUAGCUCAAAAGAUAUAAGUGAAGCACAUAGAGCAUUCUAAUAAAUUUUAAUCAAGUGGGUUUCUCCCAAAAGGUGUGUACAGCAAGGAUGAUUGUGUUAAACUAAAAAGCAAAGACUAAUAUCAUACAAGACGCUCCAAGCAAAACACAUAUCAUGUGGCGAAUAAAAAUAUAGCUCCAAGUAAAGUUACCGAUAAAUGAAGACGAAAGAGGGGAUGCCUUCCGGGGCAUCCCCAAGCUUAGGCUUUUGGGUAUUCUUGAAUAUCUUGGGGUGCCAUGGGCAUCCACAAGCUUAGGCUCUUGCCACUCCUUAUUCCAUAGUCCAUCAAAUCUUUACCCAAAACUUGAAAACUUCACAACACAAAACUCAACAGGAAAUCUCAUAAGCUUCGUUAGUGCAAGAAAGUAAAACCACCACAUAAGGUACUAUAAUGAACUAAUUCUUUAUUUAUAUUGGUGUUAAACCUACUGUAUUACACGUUCUCUAUGGUUCAUACCUUUACAUACUAGCCAUAGAUGCAUCAAAGUAAGCAAACAACACACGAAAGGCAGAAUCUGUCAAAAACAGAACAGUCUGUAGCAAUCUGUAACUCUCGAAUACUUAUCUCUACUAUCUAAAAGAAACCUAACAUUCCGUCUCCCCUCUUACAUUUCGUCGAGCCCUCCCCGCAUGGCCGCACUCGCGAUUGGUUUUUUCACAUCCUUCCCCAUGUCGGUUUUGCAUUGAAGACUUUCCUAAAACAACCACCUUGAUUGAUUCCCCUGACCUUAAUCCCACCUCUGAUUUGGCCGCCGCCAGACUCUCGCCCAUCUCGCGAAAGGCAGGAGGAUGUAUGCUCCUCGUCCAUGACCUCUCGCCAGAGACGCCCUAACGUCACCGUAGCGCGUGACGCAGGGAUUCGCCGCUGCAGCCCGCGGCUACUUUGCCCCUGGUGUCGACGAGGGGGUCAGCGAGAGCUCAUCUCCUCCCGGGGCUGCCGCCGCCGGGCUCGCCUCGUCAGGAGGACACGAUGUCGAUGCCGCCGCCGGUGACACCUUGUUGUUCUUCCUCUCCCCUCACGCUUCAUGCUUCCCGGAUUAUUGAGGUUAUAAUCGUGAGGGACUCCUGAUUUUUGAACAUAUGUGUUUCUUGUUGUGCUGCAGGCUCUGCAGCCUGCAGGUCGUUCAGCUCGGGUGUGCUGCAGCCUGCGAGAUCCGAGGCGUGACGACAUUGGUGAUUCUGUUCACCGUGACCCAAGUUUAAGCCAGAUCUGCGACUGAGGCAUGGCGCAAGAAACCUAGGCCGCAGGAAGGCUACGGAGGUGUGUUGCCCCCGGAGACGUCUUGGCACCAUCUCCGAUGAGCCCCUUCUGAUGGAGCCUAUGUCGUUCUAUAUCUGGUGUUGGCUCUCCCUUCAAUUAGAUCCGCGGGAGGCUACUGCUGCCGCUGUCAGUGGCGCAGCGGAUUGCGGAUGGCCUACCUAGCCACCAUGCGCAUGGUCCAACCUCCCCUCCGAUGUAUGCCUCCAUACUAUCACGCCCACUACGGCAAGCAUGAUGUGUGCACGUCUUCGUUGUUGCGGCCGUCCGGCAUUCGUCCCUUCCCAGCUGUCGGCGUGGCGCAUUGGCAUAAGAGCGAUAAUGUUCAUGUCUGCUGAAACUGGGUCGUUGAAUUUCGUCAAUUAACUUGGGAAUAAGGCAAUACGGGUGUCAAGAAUGGACUUUAAAAGUAAUGGAGGCAGUACCAGUGUGUUCCUACGCCUGGCAGAUUUUGCUCCAAAGAAGAAAGGAGAAGUUCACCAAAGUUGACCUUCAGUACUAAAAGUACUAAUAAUAUUACCUGCAAGUGCAAGCAAGGAGAACCACGGGUGCUUUGGCAAAAGGAAAGCAACAUGAUGCCAAAAGCUUGUAGAAUUACCAUUGCAUCACCCAUCUUCUGAAACAUACAUGUUCUCUGUAUCUUGCACUCCAUUCUGUUCAUGGGAAUUUCUUUUGUUUAAAGCAAGAAGAUGGAGUGAUCAGAUAUCUUUGCAUAUAAAUAUUCUUUUGUCUGCAAGUGUUUUGCGCUCCUCGACUUGAUUCCCCUGGCGCUUAUAGAGGUACUUCAGUUGCAUAUUCCGAUAUGAGCUUCAUGUUGCGCAAUGCCAAAAGCUCCUUCCAUUACACCCAUCUUCCAAAGAAUUUCAAUGUCUCUACAUAUGUUCCAAAUCUUUUCCACAGUAUAUGCCCAACUGAUUUCUGUCUCCAAUUUUUAGCAAGACGAUUGAGUGAUAUAUGUUCAUAUAUGGGACUGGAUUUUGCUGAAAUAAAUUUCCUUUCUCUGCGAGUUUUGUAAAAUAUUUUUUUUCAAGUUUCACCACCCGCCCCGGGGGGGGGGGGGGUGUUCCCCCAAAAAAUCUUAGGUGUGUAAAUCUAAUAGACACAUCUAAUCAGUCUGAACUUUUGGGGUUCACUCCCAACUUUUGGGGUUUCCCCACCUUAAAAUAUUAGUUUGCUUCAAAGUAUGUUUUCGAAAAAGCUCCUUCGCGAUCACUCGCUGAAGCGGUCGAAUCAGUCUGAACGAAGCGUCCUUCGACAAAUUCCUCGUAUCAUGCUGGGGGCCCACCACAUGAUCGCUAAGAAGUGCCAAGACGUGCAAAGCCCAUCCAAUAAUCUCCAUAUAAUCUGCCCCCCCCCCAUUUUCGGGGGGGGGGGCGAGGGGGGCCCACACUAAUUACCAUAACCCUUACCCUGAUCAUAAACGUAACCUGGUCCACACCUUCCAAAUCGGGAGAUCCUGGCCUAUCGGAAAGCGAGCGUUGGCACACGCGCACGCGCAAUAUUAGUUUGUGAAAAUCUUAGGUGAAAUUUUAUAUAUAAUGAGCAAAAAAAUCUAUGAUCUCAAACAUUCCACUGGUACAACCCAUACAAAAAUUGAUUUGUUCUGUCAAUAUGGAGUGUUAAUCUUCUCCUCUAUAUAGGCUUGAAGGAUAAAAUUAUGGCAAGUUUGGUUGGUGGAGGAGGAAAAUAAGAAUGAUUUAAUAGUAAGAAAAGGAAGAUAAUGCUGCUUGAGAUGUGCAUGGGGAUUCUGAAUAUAUAUGUUUGAUAUUUUCUCCUCUUGACAGAGAUUACUCGAGGUUUGUGAAGUCCUCAUAAUAUGUGGGGUUCCAUUAUUGUAUAUUUCACCCUAAGCCCCCGUUGCAACGCACGGGCAAUUACCUAGUGGAACUCUAAAAAUCCUACCAAAAUAGGAAGUCCUGGGAAAUUUUUCUAUUUAUCUACAGCAAAAAGAAUCAACGCAAAAUCACGUUUCUGUAAAUUACUAAAAUUAUUUUCGUGCGUGCAAAGUUUCUGUUUUUCAGCAGAAUCAAAUUAACUAUCAGCAUAUGUUAUCCUAUAGGUUCUACUUGGCACAAACACUAAUUAAAACAUAAAAACACAUCUAAACAAAAGGUAGAUGAAAAAUUUACUACUAAACAUAAGCAAAAACAAAAAACACAAAUAAAAUUGGGUUGCCUCCCAACUAGCGCUAUCAUUUAACGCCCCUAGCUAGGCAUAAAAGCGAGGAUAGAUCUAAUUGGUGCCAUCUUUGGCACUCAAUUCUUCAAUAAAGCAUUUAUAAUUUUUAGGAGUUUCUUUCUUUUUAGCAAUGAUUAAGCUCCUAGGCAAGAAAUCAAGAAAUUCAUUUGAAGCAAAAGGUUCCUUUAUGAAUGAAAGACAAUUGGGGUGAACACUUAUCGAUUUGAGAUUCGCAUUUUCCUUAGAAGAUUCACCCUUAUUUUUAGGAACAUACAUUAGUUUGGCAAUUUUAGUAGGCGGAAUGGAAGUAUUUUUCACGGACGAAAAGGCAGCCCCUAAGUUGGUAAUGAUAUCCUCAAGUUUACCGAUUCUUGAAGAAUUUUGAUCUAUACUUUCGUUAACUAUAGGUUCUUUAUCCUUAAAACUUUUCAGAGUAGCUCCAAACUUAGAUCCAAAUUGGGUGAUUUGAUUGUGGAUCUUUUUAUCUAAAUUUUCAAUUAACUCAAUAGUAGCAACUUUAUUUUCUAUAAUCUCAAGCCUUUGCAUCACAUGUUCCAAAGUUAAGAUAGUUCCGUUAACCAAGAGAGAUGGUGGACAAAACAAAUCUAACAAAGCAUUAUAGGCACCAAAAGUGUGACUACCCAAGAAAUUCCCUCCGGUAAUGGCAUCAAGAAUACAUCUAUUCCAAGGAGUAAUGCCUACAUAAAAAUUGCGAAGAAGGACGGAAGUGGAUUGCUUCCUAGUAGAUCUAUUUUGAGCAUUGCAAAUUCUAUGCCAAGCAUCCUUUAAAUUUUUCUCCCUCCCUUUGUUUAAAAUUAAGAACUUCAUGAUCGGUAGUAUUAACGAUAAUAGGAGGACUAGCCAUAGCGACGAGCACACAAGAGGCAAGCGAAAGAGAGAGGAUAUUGGGAAAGAGAGGGCGAAUAAAACUACAAGGGUGAAGUGGGGGAGAGGAAAACGAGAGGCAAAUGGCAAAUAAUGUAAAUGCGAGGGAGAUGAGUUUGUGAUGGGUACUUGGUAUGUCUUGACUUCAGCGAAGACCUCCCCGGCAACAACGCCAGAAAUCCUUCUUGCUACGUCUUGAGCUUGCGUUGGUUUUCCUUGAAGAGGAAAAGGUGAUGCAGCAAUAGUAGCAUAAGUAUUUCCCUCAGUUUUUGAGGACCAAGGUAUCAAUCCAGUAGGAGGAUCCUCAAAAGUCCCACGCACCUACACAAACAAACAAGAACUCACAACCAACGCAAUAAAGGGGUUGUCAAUCCCUUCACGGCCACUUGCGAAAGUGAGACCUGAUAGAGAUAAUAUGAUAAGGUAAAUAUAUUUUUGGUAUUUUAUAAUAUAGAUUGGAAAAGUAAAGAUGCAAAUAAAAGUAGAUUGAAAGCUUAUAUGAUAAGAGAUAGACCCGGGGGCCAUAGGUUUCACUAGUGGCUUCUCUCAAGAUAGCAUAAGUAUUUACGAUGGGUGAACAAAUUACCAUCGAGCAAUUGAUAGAAAAGCGAAUAAUUAUGAGAUUAUCUAGGCAUGAUCAUGUACAUAGGCAUCACAUCCGUGACAAGUAGACCGACUCCUGCCUGCAUCUACUACUAUUACUCCACACAUCUACCGCUAUCCAGCAUGCAUCUAGAGUAUUAAGUUCAUAAAGAACAGAGUAACGCAUUAAGAAAGAUGACAUGAUGUAGAGGGAUAAACUCAUGCAAUAUGAUAUAAACCCCAUCUUUUUAUCCUCGAUGGCAACAAUACAAUACGUGCCUUGCUGCCCCUGCUGUCACUGGGAAAGGACACCGCAAGAUUGAACCCAAAGCUAGGCACUUCUCCCAUUGCAAGAAAGAUCAAUCUAGUAGGCCAAACCAAAUUGAUAAUUCGAAGAGACUUGCAAAGAUAACUUAAUCAUACAUAAAAGAAUUCAGAGGAGAUUCAAAUAUUUCUCAUAGAUAAACUUGAUCAUAAACCCACAAUUCAUUGGAUCUCCACAAACACACCACAAAAAGAGUUACAUCGAAUAGAUCUCCAAGAAGAUCAAGGAGAACUUGGUAUUGAGAUUCAAAGAGAGAGAAGAAGCCAUCUAGCUAAUAACUAUGGACCCGAAGGUCUGUGGUAAACUACUCACAACUUAUCGGAGAGGCUAUGGUGUUGAUGUAGAAGCCCUCUGUGGUCAAUUCCUCCUCCGGCAGAGCGCCGGCGAAGGCUCCAAGAUGGGAUCUCGCGGAUACAGAAGGUUACGGUGGUGGAAAUAGUUUUUCAUGGUCGCUUCUGAUUUUUUCAGGGUACAUGGGUAUAUAUAGGAGGAAGAAGUAGGUCGGUGGACGCCCGGGGGGCCCUCGAGACAGGGGGCGCGCCUAGUAGGGGGGCGCCCUCCACCCUCAUGGCCGCCUCGUUUAUUUCUUGACUUCCACUCCAAGUCCUCUAGAUCACGUUCGUUCCAAAAAUCAUGCUCCCGAAGGUUUCAUUCCAUUUGGACUCCGUUUGAUAUUCCUUUUCUUUGAAACACUGAAAUAGGCAAAAAAAACAGCAAUACGGGCUGGGCCUCGAUUAGUAGGUUAGUCCCAAAAAUAAUAUAAAUGUGUAAAGUAAAGCCCAUAAACAUCCAAAACGGGUAAUAUAAUAGCAUGGAACAAUCAAAAAUUAUAGAUAUGUUGGAGACGUAUCAAUAUGCUCCAAAAGCCCUCAACCACUUUCUCAUAUCCACAUAUGUCCCAAACAAAAAGUCAAACUCGGCCCCACCGAUUUGAUCCAUCUGGUGCCACCGAGUUCAUUUGAAAUAGCCACUGCCAGAAACCCUAGUCUUUUUGGUUACACCAAUAGGGAUCUCGGUCUCACCGAGAUGGGGUUGCAAACUCUCUGUUUCCCUUUGUAACAUUUCAGUCUAACCGAGAUGAGCGAUUGGUCCCACCGAGUCUGCAAUGCAAACUCUCUGUUUCCCUUUCGUAAUGCUUCGGUCCCACCGAGACGAGCGAAUCGGUCCCACCGAGUUUGCCUGACCAACUCUCUGUUAGCCUAUUACCAAAGUCGGUCCAACCAAUUUUGAGUAAUCAGUCCAACCAAGAUUACGUUAUGCCCUAACCCUAAUGAUAUCGGUCCCACCGAGUUGACAUGUCGGUCCCACCGAAAUUGUCUCACGAUCACAUCAUGUACUAAAUCGGUCUGACUGAGUUUUCUGAUUUGGUCCCACCGAGUUUGGUAUAUUGUGUGUAAUGGUUAGAUUUUGUGUGGAGGCUAUAUAUACCCCUCCACCCUCUCCUCAUUCAUGAGGGAAGCCAUCAGAUCAUGCCUACACUUCCACUACCCAUUUUCUGAGAGAGAGCCACCUACUCAUGUGUUGAGACCAAGAUAUUCCAAUCCAACCAUAUGAAUCUUGAUCUCUAGCCUACCCCAAGUUGCUUUCCACCUAAUCCAAUCCUAUGAGAGUGAGUUGAGUGUUGGGGAGACUAUCAUUUGAAGCACAGGAGCAAGGAACUCAUCAUCAACACACCAUAUAUUACCUUUUGGAGAGUGGUGUCUCCUAGAUUAGUUAGGUGUCACUUGGGAGCCUCCGACAAGAUUGUGGAGUUGAACAAAGGAGUUUGUAAGGGCAAGGAGAUCGCCUACUUCGUGAAGAUCUACCCUAGUGAGGCAAGUCCUUCGUGGGCGAUGGCCAUGGUCGGAUAGAAAAGGUUGCUUCUUCGUGGACCCUUCGUGGGUGGAGCCCUCCGUGGACUUGCGCAGCCAUUACCCUUCAUGGGUUGAAGUCUCUAUCAACGUGGAUGUACGAUAGCACCACCUAUCGGAACCACAAGAAAAACAUCCGUGUCUCCUAUUGUGUUUGCACUCUCCAAACCCAUCCCUCUACAUUCUUGCAAGUUGUAUGCUUUACUUUCCGCUGCUCAUAUACUCUUUGCAUGCUUGCUUGAAUUGUGUUAAGAUUGCUUGACUUGUUCUAAAUUGUUAAAAUCUGCCAAGAACUAAAAUUGGGAAAAGGUUAAGUUUUUAUUUGGUCAAGUAGUCUAAUCACCCCCCCCCUCUAGACAUACUUUCAAUCCUACAAUUGGUAUCAGAGCUUUGGUCUCCAUUUGCCUUGAUUCCAUAGCUUUUGGUGAUCAUAGCCUUGGUUUCACAACCUAGGAGAGUAUGGCUUCUAGCGAGGGAAAUUACCACCGUAGAGGUCCUUACUUUGAUGGUACUAAUUUUGCUAGUUAGAAACAUAAGAUGAAAAUGCAUAUUCUUGGACAUAACCCCUCCGUUUGGGCUAUUGUGUGUAUUGGCUUGCAAGAUGAAUUCUUCGAUGGGCGAGAACCGAACCAUGAAGCUACCGCGUAAGAGUUGAAGAUGAUGCAAUACAACGCUCAAGCUUGUGAUAUCCUCUUCAACGGUUUUUGCCCCGAAGAAUUCAACAAAAUCAGCCGCCUUGAGAAUGCAAAGGAAAUUUGGGAUACUUUGAUUGAUAUGCACAAAGAUACCAACUCCGUCAAGGAAUCCAAAUUGGAUGUGCUUCAAAGUCAACUUGACAAGUUCAAAAUGAAGGAUGGUGAAGGUGUCGCUGAAAUGUACUCUAGGCUUGCUCUCAUCACAAAUGAGAUUGCCGGCUUAGGAAGUGAAGAGAUGACCGACAAAUUCAUCAUCAAGAAGAUCCUAAGAGCCUUGGAUGGAAAAUAUGAUACCGUGUGCACAUUCAUCCAAAUGAUGCCAAAUUACAAAGAUCUCAAGCCAACGGAAGUCAUUGGAAGAAUUGUUUCUCAUGAGAUGUCACUCAAGGAUAAGGAAGAGCUUCACAACAAGUAAAUUGGUGCUUACAAAGCCUCAUGUGAUGCUCCUACAUCAUCAAGUGAGAAACAAACCUUCAAUGAGGAAUUGAGCCUAAUGGUGAAAAACUUCAACAAGUUCUACAAGAGUAGAAGCAAGGAAAGAAGUUCCAAGUCAAGGUCCUACAAUGACAAAAUAUCUUCAAGUCGUGAACGUAAUUGCUACAAUUGUGGAAGACCCGGACACUAUUCCAAUGAGUGUACCGCUCCUUAUAAAAGGAGAGAAGAUUCACCCGAAAGAAGAAGUAGAAGAGAAGAAUCACCACCAAGAGAGAGGAGGAGUAGAGAUGAUCAUUAUGAAAGAAGAACCUCCCAGAGAAGCAAGGAUUCAGGAAGGAAGGACAAAUCAUCCAAGAGCUACACAAAGCGAAGCCAUCAAGCUCAUGUUGGUGAAUGGGUAUCCAGCUCCGACUCCGACCAUCACUCCGAGAGAAGCUAUCACUCUGACUCCGAAUAUACUCAAGAUGAAGGUGUUGCCGGUCUAGCACUUGUAUCAACCAACUCCUACGACAUAUUUGACUCACCAAAUGAAGGAAUUGGAAUAUUCUUCAUGGCUAAAGGCCCAAAGGUAUCACACCCCGAGUAUGUUGAUUUCAAUAGUGAUGAAGAUGACUUGUUAGGUGACGAUGCUCUAGUGAUGGAUACUAUGAUGAAACGUCAAUUAAUCAUGCUAAUCAAGAUAAAACAAAUGACAGUGAUAAGGAGAAGAUUGAGCGUCUAACUAAAGAACUAAACACUCUUAAGUUAGCUCAUGAAACUACCUUGGAAGAUCAUCAAGAACUUUUAAAGACUCACGAAAAGUUACGCUUUGAAAAGUGCAACCUUGAGCAAGAGCAUGAGUUUUUAAAGGCAAUCAAUGAUGAUAUUCGCAAGAAAAGUUCUUCUUACAUUGCCAAGCGUUUACUCUUAUCUACUUACAUGCCACAAGUCAAGUCUAGUAACAAGAGUAAGAAAGAUUAUUCUUCUAGUAGUAACAAUAAUCAUGCCAAAUCCAAUGUUGUUGCUUCUAGUAGUUCUCUUGAUUCCACUAAUGAUUCUCUUAGCCAAGUUACACUUGAGCAAGAAAAUAGCUUAUUGAAGGGAAUUAUAGAGAAGGGUGUCUACAAGAGCCUAGCUGGAAAUAAGCAAUUUGAGGAAAUUGUACGCAAGCAAGGAAGGCACCGGAAGAAUCAAGGUGUCGGUUUUGAAUGAAAGUUCAAUGCCAAUGGUGUUGAGUGGGAAGAAGAUCAAUACCCCAAGUUGAAGUUUGUUCCCCAACAAGAGAAGUAUGAUCCUACUUCUUUUCAAGGGACACAAGCUCAAUACGAUCUUCCACCACAAGACCACAAGCAAAAAGGCAAGGACAAGCUUCAAGAGGAGAUUGAUGCAUUUGAAGAAGCUCCCAAGGCCUUGGUCAAGUGGGUUCCCAAGACUACAUCAAGUUCUACUUCAUCAAGUUCCACUACAACCCAAAAGAUUCCCAUCAAGAUGAUGUGGAUCCCAAAGAAGAAGGACUAGAGAGUUCUUGAGGGUGACUCCGCCAAUAUUCUUCACUCACACCAUUUUGGCAAGGACAAGUGCAAUCAACUUCCACAUCUUGCACUAGUUCAAGGAGUCACAAACCCUCUUGUUGGUAAGACAAGGGACAAGGUAACCUGAUGCUUUCAUGGACAUCAUCUUGUGUGUGCAUCACUCUAUGUCUAUGGAUAUACUUGUUUGUUCCUUGUGGGACUAACCUUUGUAGGUAUUGAAAGUGCAACUCACUCCAAUGGAUUGCUCCAAAUGGUCUACAACAACAUUGAGCAUCCACAUCUUCAACACCUAAAUGAAGUCAUCAUCGACAAAACCCAAGGUUAGUUCAUCCCUUAAGGGGGAUCUCACAUCUAGGGGGAGCUUUACUCUAAAGAAUUGAGCUAAAGCAACUCUAAUGGUGUGAACAUAACAAAGCUUUAUGUAAAAGUGGUAACCCCACUUGUGCUUAAACGAUGAGUAUGACCUAUGAUCAAAUGUUCUCAUUUGACCCCUAAGUCAAUAUACUCAUAUAUAGAUGACCUAGUCAUCGCCAAUUGUUUGAUAGAUGUUAGAAUCGGUUGUGCAUGCUUUGUCUCAUGUUUCAUUUGCCAUUUUAUUGUGUGAGCAUGUCAUUUGCAUAUUUUAUUCAUUCAAGGACAUCCACUUGUUAUUUUGUUUGUUUGGUUCCUUUUUCUUUUGCCAAGUGGAUGGACAAGAAUGCCUAAGAACCUUCUCUAGCUAUCUAUGCUUUUCUCGUCUCAAACUCUAUUCAUGCUACAUCACAAAGUUUGAUCAAGUCAGAUUCGAACCACUCUGUGUGAGGAGCACUCGGAGUCCCCGAUUCGUCAUAGACUUAAACUUCCAAAAACUCUUUGUGCAUUUCGGUCUGACCGAGACAUCCAUUUCGGUCACACCGAGUUCACUAAGUUGAUCUAGGUUUUCAUCUGGUGCAACCGAUUUGAACACUUUGGUCACACCGAGUUGCAACAACCGCUUGCGAUUCUGCAAUCUUGGUGCCACCGAGUUGUUCCACUCGGUCACACCGAUAGGGUCGGGAUAUAAAUACCCACGGGUGAGAUUUUGGAAAUUACUUCAAAUCCUCUCAGCCCGCGUGUGUCCUGGUCUGUCUCCUUGGGUCUCCGGAUCAUCUCCUCGCCGCCAAUGACCUCCCGCCAUUGGAAUCUGCCGCUGUCGACGGAUUCUGCUCCGCCAUCGCCGCUGUAGUGAACACUCGCCAUUCUAGGGUACGUGUUUGACCCCUUGUGCUGUCAUUUUACUCUAAUUCCUAGCACAAGGACAAUGCCAUGAUUUUUUCCACGAAUGAGAUUGAUCUAGCCACCUAAAACUUCCUUAGGUCUAGAUUGAUUCGAAAAUUUUACGGUUAGCUCUCCGCAGAACUCAUCUCGGACCGACCAAAAUGUAGAAAUUGGUCUGACCGAUUCGGCUUAGGCCAUUGCACAUGCGCUUUUCGGUCUGACCGAAAAUUGCAAAUCGGUGUGACCGAGUUCAAUGAUUCUGUGAAACCCUAGCAAUCUUGGCGCCACCGAACUGUGACUCGACCCAACCGAGUUCACUAGUUUAGGUUCCAAGUGUUGCUUCGGUAUCACCGAGUUUGUCAAUUUGGUAGCUCCGAGAUCAUUUCUAUAGAGAACUAAAACUAAGCUUUUUGACUCAAUUUGUUUUGCAAAACCUCUGUACUUUGUGAUGCUCAUCUACUCUACCUCAUCUACAACCUAUUCACAGGGUCUGCUAAUAGUUUGCCUGCAAGAUGUCUGACCAGAGUGAUAGCCACAAUAGGUCUGAACAACAAGAAUAGUUGAGUGAGGGCACUAGUCCCUCCAGCAGCUAUGAUGAGGGCAGCAGGAGUACACCUAGUAACUUGCCCAAGGCAGCUACUAGAGCAAGGAAGAAGAGAACUUCAGACUCAUAGGAUGAAGACUAUGUUGAAGCUGAGGAUGAGGCCACUUCUAAGAAGAAAGUGGUGAAGAAAGAGUUUGGCACUGCUGCAUCAACUAAGCCAUGCAUGAACAGAAAGGCACCAGCUAGGAGAGCGCCUACAUCCAAGCCAAGGAAAGUUGCCACAGGUAAAACUAUGAAGUUCACCAUUGAAUCAGAAGAAGAGGCAGCUGGUGAGGACAAGAAGAAGAAGAGGGCAAGAACAACAACAACUAAAGUACUUGGAAAGUCUACUAUGGUGAGAUCUGAUGAUGAAGAGGAAGAGGAUCCUGCUCCAGCACCUAAGGCACAAAAGCUAAUGGGAGAUGCUAUUAGGUCAAGGGCUGCUGCUAAGCCCAAAUCUGCUCCCAAAGCUGCUGAUCUAGCCACCAAGACUGCACCUAAGAGGAGUACAAGAAACAUUCCUACUGAGGAGAAGAACAAGGCCCAGUGCCUGAAGUUGAAGAUGAAGAAGCUGAAUCCCAAGUGCUAAGGAAGCUCAAACCUAAGAUUCCAGACCAUAAUGAUGCACAUCCUGUUGCAGAGGACAUGAGGAUCAGGAAGGAUGCAUGACUGAGAUAGUGGAGGAAGAAUGACCCAUAUGCUAUAAGGAGGAGAACUGUUGUGGAUUACAGGUUCCACACAAAGGAACAACAAGAUUUCUAUGAGACAAUCCUGCCUGACAAGAAGCCCAUAGUAUGUGACAUGAGAUGGGUCGACUGGAACUACAUUAGAGAAAAUGAAGAUCACUUCCCAGGUGUUUAUGACAGCUUCAAGGCCUGUGAAGUGGACAAGUUUGUUGGCCAGAAGCUCAUAAAGUGGAAUGAUGAGCUGAUCAUGCAAUUUUACUCUACUACUCAUUUUUAUCCUGAUGGCAGAAUUGUAUGGAUGUUAGAGGGUACUAGGUACCAGUCCACAGUUGAUGAGUGGGCUAUAUUGAUCAAUGCCCCAGAAGCUCAUGAAGAUGACUUGGAUGUGUAUGCCAAGAAGAAGAAAUACCACAACUCAAUGGCUAGCAUGUACAAGGAGAUUCCUGAUGCAGACCUGGAGACUCACAAGUUUCGCUCAGUGAAGCACUUACUGUCAGGCCUGCCUACUAUCAAUACCAUCUUGAGGCACACUCUUUUGCCCAAGUCUGAAGAUCACAGAAUGAUAAGAGGACACUCCAUCAACUUGCUGCAUAUAUUUGAUGUUCCUCAAAAGUUCAAAGUGAUGAGUCUUAUUAUGGAAACAAUCAAGAGGAUAGUUGCAGAUCAGAAGAGGUCUUGUGGGUAUGCUCCAUAAAUUCAGGUGCUCAUCAACUCCAAGAUGGGCACAGGCACUUAUCUGUUGGACAAAGAGCAUUUACCCCUCAGGCCAGAUUUUGAGGAUAACAUUGUUGUUAUGGAUGAGAAAGAUCCUUCCUCAGUGCAAGCACAUGAGCAGAGAGAGAAGGCAAUGGCAGAGAAAGCUGCAAAGAUGCCAAGUGCUGAAGAGGCAUCUCAGGUGUUCCUAAAGAGUAAACAAGAUCAGCUUGGAUAUCUGAUCCAAUCCACCUUGAGGAUUGAGAAGGGCUUGGCCACCCUGACUCAAAACCAGGAGAGCUUGGAGAGGAUCAUUGAGUAGAAAUUCUAUGAUCUUGAUGUCAAAGUCACUGAGAUUCAAUCAGUAGUUGAGCAACUACAUGAGGAAGUGGAGGAGAAUAAAUGCAAGUCUACUACAGAUGCUUUCACAAGAGUGCCCAGGAGUCAUAGGUCUACUACAGUGCGUGUUCCAGAUACUAGAGCUACUACAUCUGCACUAGUAGCCACAACUUCAGUGCCACCAGCUCCAGCAGUCACUCCACCAGCUCCAGCUACAUCUACAGAAGCUUUCGUCCUUGCAGUCAUAUCUACACCACCUCAUGAAGACCAAGCCUGAGAGAGACGCAUAUCACUAUGCAUAUUUUUGACUUUUUGGUAACUUGUUGCCAAAGGGGGAGAAAUAUGUAUAGAUCAUAGUCUGAGAGAGAGAGAGAGAGAGAGAGAGAGAGUUGCUUUUGUCUCUCUUUGCACUUUAUUUGCUUGAAAUUUAUUUUGUGUUUUUGCUUGAUACACUAUGCCCUUUGUGAGAUACUUGGAUAAUCAUGUGUUUGAUCAUAUGCUACUUUAAUGUGUGCUUGAAUGAUAUUAUCCUUCAUAUCCAGUUAUGAUCAUUCACUUUGCUUGGUGAUGAGUGCAUGUUUUCAAUUGUUAUCAUUUUAAGCGCUCCACCAAGAUGUAUGUGACAUGGAAGAGUGACCCAUGAUCCUAACACAUUGUGCAUUUGCCAAAUUUUAAAUAAUGCAAAAAUUUAGGGGGAGCUCUUGUUUGUUACAUACUUCUCAAAGCGAUGAUGUACUUCAAUCUUAUCAUCAUUUGUCGGAGCUUUGAUCUAUAUGUUGUCAUCAAUUACCAAAAAGGGGGGAGAUUGAAAGUGCAACUAUCCCUGGGUGGUUUUGGUAAUGAUUAACAACAUAUAGCUCAUUGAACUAAUGCCAUUUCAAGAUAAAUAUUUCAGGGUGACGGUGUCCUGGACUAGGGGGUACUCACCACGUCGUCUCCCGAUCAGUUGGAUUGGGCCGAGGACCCCCAUGGCCGUAUACUCAUGGGCCAGUUCGGACAACCCCUGCCGCAUACAAGGAAGACUCCACAAGACUUGGCGCCCAAGACAAGGACUCUCCUAAACCCUAGGCCUCCGGUGUCUUAUAUAAACCGAGGCCAGGCUAGUCAAUAGACAAUCUCAUAUUCAUUACUACAAUCUCGUGGUAGAUACGUGUACUCUGUACUACACCCAUAUGAAUACAAUCAAAAGCAGCAUGUAGGGUAUUAUCUCAUCAAGAGAGCCCGAAGCUGGGUAAAACCCUGUGUCCAUGUUACCAUCGCUCCGAGACGCCUAGCUUAGGACCCCUACUACGAGAUACGCCGGAUAUUGAACCGACAUUGGUGCUUUCAUUGAGAGCCUGCUAGGUGAUCGUCGCGGAUCAAUGGGAUGAUCAGGUGAUAUUUUUCAAAUCAAAUCUAUUUUGCACAAGUUAGUUUUUAUAAGAAUUGUCUCUGGUUUGCAAGCUUCGUCCGCAGAUUAGGUCGAGAUCAAGGUCUAAAAAAUCUGCGACCAACGACGCGCUCCUACACGGUGUUUAGCACCCUACUCCGGUCCUUUGAUCGACAGACGGGGGCAUUUAAUGGAUUGUCAAAUUGGCCCUGACGAUGCACGCAGUUCUUUAUCGCGGAGCCGAGGACAAAUCCACCACGGCCAACGAUCAUCAAGGGAGAUCCUUUCCCUUAUUCUCAUUCUUUUUCCUUAUUUAACUCAGCCUGUCGUCGCUUGUCCACUAGCAGUUUUUUAUUUUUGUUAAGGUUUGCGUAGUUCUAAGGCAAUCAUGUACUAAUUUUGCAACCGGUCUUCACUUCUUGAUGACUACCACGCCAACUAGUGCUACUACUACCAGGAUCAGGCGCUAGUACUGGUUUAGCUAGCUACGUAACACCACCACUUCACGAGGAGUACAUGGCCAAGUUUACUUUUCCCUCAAAUUGCCAUGUGCACUAAGAGGCGAUCAACAGGAAGCGUGGAUCCCUUCCUUUUACUAUGUUCUAAAGGAUUGUUGCACGUAGAUUAUUUUUUGUUGGUUUGUACUGCAUUAUUUUUUGCAGAGAUACUACGCCAUCGAGCCAACCCCGCCGCUCAGGCCAUAUUUACCAAACAUAAUCAACUUCGACUGCAUCACGCGGUCAACUCUGUGGGCCGAUGUCGUAGUCCUGCGUGCAUUGAUCAAGCUGCGGCGUCGCCUCAGCGCACGUCCCUGCAUCAACAUGUCCGCGGCCAUUCUAUCAGGACGACCCCGGUGUUCAGGCCAUAUUCUUUAAUUAUCUACUUUACUUAACUUAAUUAAGUAGAGGAUAUUUAAAAAAACAUAUAUAUUAUCAUCUGGGGCCUUGCACUAUUUUGUCUGUGCAGGCAUUUGACUUACAGCGGGCAUUACCUAGCGCAACGACGCCCAUUGGGUCCGAAGAGAGUUUGGCUCAGCGCAACCACAGGGGGAUUUGACCUCCUUUUUUCCUUUCUCCCUUUAUAUUAUUUAAUUAAGCAAGUAAUGGACUUCUACUGCGUCACGUGGUCUCUUCGGCAAGCCAACACCGUCGUCCCAAUCGACAUAAAUCGGCUCACAUGAUCAACUUGUUGGUCACGUUGCCAUAGCGACAUGUUCGGUUGCCUCAGGGACUUCAACAUCGCCGAGAAAACUCCACCUCAUCGAGUGUUCGGUGCACAUGUCAUAUUUCUUUUAUUACUCACUUUGCAUAAAUCAUUUAUUAUGCAACAUUUUUUUAUUACUAUUAUCUCUGGUUCGCACUGUUUUUUGUGCAUAGGAAAACGAUCUGGGUCGGGCAGUGUUGCCACCUCGGCGUACUGACAUACUACGUCAUCUCGGCUGGGCGGGGGGCAUCAUCAACACUUCGUUACCCCACUCCGGGGACUUCGGCGUCACUCCGUCGGCCUGCAUUGGCUGUACUGUGUCACCACUUUGGAUUGCCGAGCUCUUCGCUCCGCCACCUCGGGACCGACUUGGGGGCUGGGACCUUGUCCCGCCGUAAGCUCGGACCGCGUCAUCAAUGCCGAACACAUUAGCCAGCUAAGUCGCUUUCAUGCUCAAAGUUUUAAAAUUUUAAAUUUUGUUUGGUCCGACCAAGCAUUAUACUUUUUUUAGCAAAAAGUUGUUUGUGAGAAACUUCCUUGUCCAAACUUUGUUUGUGACACACAAAUUCAAAUACCCCGUUUACUUGGGGGCUCCCUUGCUGGAGCUUUUCCUCUUGCAUAUGAUUAUACUUGUACGGCUUCAUUCCUUGUUCGUGUAUUACGCCACAAUAUGCAUCAUAUUGACCUAAGUGAUUUGCAAGCUGGGUUGCCUCGCUCCCGUGUUUACCCCUACGUUCCCGAUUGUUCGGCUAGGGAGUAAAGGGAGAACCUCUAUGAUUGUCACGAUUGGAUCACCCGAGCCGGACCUCAGACUGGGUGAAGCCAAAAGCUGGUGCUCUUACUAUUUUCAGUAAUGGUCGGCACACAACGGAACUCAUGAGUACAAAAAAAAUCUAUUGCACAAGUCUCAUAGUGAGCAACUGAAGAAAGGUAUCACUGGGGGUACUAUUUUCUUCGAAGAUGCUUCUUACACUUCGUCGGUAAUAUAGCAUAAGUUUCCUGAGCACGCUUUGUCUGUUACAACCUUAUGGCCUGAUUGCCUGGUUAUUGGAAACACCGUCGGUAUUCUCGACAGGUGGAGUACAUAAACACUUUUCGGUCCUUGUCCGAAGAGGGAGAAGCCGACGGUCGGUUUAGACGCGUAUAAAGUUCGGGUAAACGCAAAUAUGAUAUAAGUACUUCGGUACAUAGAUUCAUUAUACAUAAAAUUAUUUUACCCAAGUCACUUGGGGGCUCUUAAAUUUAUGUGAGCUGUUUUAUAAUAAGUGUUUUUCUUCUUAGUCGUUGCAAAGUCCUUUUUCUAUCACUCUUUUUUCGACGUGAGUGUGCGGUCAAUAGCCGGGGAGCCUAAUUUCUCUCUCAAAGCCGCUAAAGUUUGCUAAACUAGCCUAAUGAGAAGUACUCCGCCUUCGGGGUAGGAGGUUGAGCCGUAGGCUGACCCGCUUGAAGUCUUGAGAUAGGAUGUGUCAUGUUAAAGCACGACAUAAGCAUCUUUUUUUCUAAGACCAAUUUUCUGAUUGGCACCGAACAAUUGAUCUAGUUCGAACGUCGAGGUUUUACUAACGUUUUUUGGUUUUCCAAUCCUAUGGCACUUUUCAAACUAUUUGUGUGUUUUCCACAUAAGUCUCGCAAUGCAACGCCAGACACCUUUAGGGAUUCGGCAAAAAUUCUCGGAUAUUGCUAUAUAUGCAUCAGUUUUGAAUUGUGUCUUUGGUUAAUAGUUGGGUUGCCCGGCUCUAGUGCUUGUCUCCUAUGUUCCGCUUUGUUCGGCUAGGUGUGCAAAGGGAGAACCACUACGAUUGUGCUUCCAGCUCGCAUGGUUAAGCACCGCAGCGGAGAAAGCCGAAAACUAACUAUCACAAUAAGUGUAAACUGGUCAGUGGUCUGAUGACUGUAUUAAAUUAUGGGCCGUUCAUAACAUUGACCGAAGUGUUUACGUCUUGACUUCGGCUGUCGCCGAACACUAACCAGGGGGCUACUUGCCGGCCUCCCAACUUUAAGCUCCUAUGACUAAGUGAAAGUUAUAAAGCUCGCAUAUCUGAUUGCCUCUUUUCCGCCAACACAACCGCCUUCGGGCACCGAGACGUCAGCUAAGGGUUGUUUUGUUAUUUCGGAAACACCCUGCGUAGCAUCUACAAGGGGAUAGAAGCUGAUGAUGGGCCACUUUCAGAUUAUAAACGGUCGCAACGGAAGUAAAAAUUUGGGUUCAUUUAGACCACAGAGAUUGGAAGCUUUCUGCGAACUAAAUCCUCAAUUUUUUCCUCCCACAUUGAUCGGAGAUGAGGUUUCAUAAUCAUGCUUAGCAUGACAACCCAAAGAAAGGAACCGAUAGAGGGACUAUUUUCUUUGGACGAUGUUUCUUAUGUUAAACAAUAAUAUAACAUGUCUCUCUGCGUACCUUUGUUUAUAAAACCGUAUGUCCGGAUUGCCUUGUUUGCCGUAAAUCUUUUGCCCUCAUAAAGGCUUUAUAAAGUAGGACAAACACUCCCCGGCUGCUGGCCGAGGAGGUUGAAGCCGAUGGUCGGUCAACAAAGUUUUGUACAAUGUAGAUCCGAGCAUUAAUGAUGUAAAGUACUUGGAUACUUAGAGUCAUUACAUAUCAUUUGUGAUUUUACUAUGGAUGUCAAUCCUUAGUUCGGCCUCCCGUGCCCGCAUUAAGGCUCGGGGGAUACUGGGCUUCGGGCUUAUUAUUUACAAUUAUUAAAAGGGCAUAUCGAUCCCCUGAUCUGGUAUUGCCACCCGACCAGUGCCUUGGGGGCUACUGCAUUGACAAUCCAAUGCAAAAAAUUUAAAAUGCAAUAUAGUUUUCGAGGAGAUUAUUAUCCUCAGGUUGGUCGGCCGCACCCAACCUGAGUCUCGAGGACUUUGCACGCCGCGUUUCUAUUCCUAAGUAUGAUGCCGAGCUUGGAAUUGAUCCUCAGGCUGAUUUUAUGAAUCAACCUGAGUCUCAGGGGCUACUAGGGUCAGCAGUGUGAUUUUUUCCUUCAGGUGCAUUCCGGAUAUUAGGCCAACACGCACCUUGAGGGCUUCUGGCUAUACAUCUCGGCAAAGAUUACAUUGCACAAUUCGGAAUUAAAUUCAUAAAAGUCAGCCCAUGGCCGAGGUGGUGCACCACCUCGGAUACAAUCCGGUGUUGGUGCUCGACUACAAUAGUCACCCCGGAAGCAGUCCGACAUAAAGCUCGGACGCUAGUGGCUGGCUCCGUAGAGGGCAUUUCCAGCAUUAAGCUCGGCUAAACUCUUUCAACUUUUUUGAACCAAGGUGAUCUAUGACACCUUGGAUAUAGUCCGUUGUUGGAGCUUGGACAUAGUCCGGCGUUGGAGCUUGGACAUAGUCCGAUGUUGGAGCUCGGAUACAUUUCAGCGUUGGAGCUCGGAAGCGGUCCGGCGUUGGUGCUCGGCUGCUAAAAGAUACCUCGAAUGCAGUCCGGCGUUGGAGCUCGGACGCAAGAGGAUGUAGCUGCUCGGGAAAGAACUUCAAACCCGAGGUAUGGCAUAAAAGUAACAAGGCAUUGAUAAAGGCCGAAAACUUAAAGGGGCUCCUCGGAUACCCGACGUGUAAACUCUUUGGAUGCACUUCGGCGAUCCUCAAGAUCAAAGAUGAGAAGAUUUGUUGAACCAGUUUUCAAGACCGACGACUGAAGAUGAAGAACAGUUUGGAAGAAUCGAGGAGCGUCUCCAACUUGAAGACCGGUUCAGGGGGCUACUGGUGGUGUCCUGGACUAGGGGGUACUCACCACGUCGUCUCCCGAUCAGUUGGAUUGGGCCGAGGACCCCCAUGGCCGUAUACUCAUGGGCCAGUUUGAACAACCCCUGCCGCAUACAAGGAAGACUCCACAAGACUUGGUGCCCAAGACAAGACUCUCCUAAACCCUAGGCCUCCGGUGUCUUAUAUAAACCGAGGCCAGGCUAGUCAAUAGACAAUCUCAUAUUCAUUACUACAAUCUCGUGGUAGAUACAUGUACUCUGUACUACACCCAUAUGAAUACAAUCAAAAGCAGCAUGUAGGGUAUUAUCUCAUCAAGAGAGCCCGAAGCUGGGUAAAACCCCGUGUCCAUGUUACCAUCGCUCCAAGAAGCCUAGCUUAGGACCCCUACUAUGAGAUACGCCGGAUAUUGAACCGACAUAGGGAAGUUCAAUGAUUGGCAUGGAAUGGAUAAGGAAUGUGGACCCCUCAAAAUGCUAAGGACAAAAGAUUGGCUCAAGCUCUAAAGUCCAAGACUCUACAUUUUCUGUUUUAGUGAUCCAAGAUCACAUUGAGUCUAUAGGAAAGCCAAUACUAUUAAAAGGGGAUGAGGUGUUGCUUAAUGGCUUGCUUGCUCAAAAUGCUUAGUGAUAUGCCCCAAAAGCCCUCAACCACUUUCUCAUAUCCACAUAUGUCCCAAACCAAAAGUCAAACUCCGCCCCACUGAUUUGAUCCAUCCGGCGCCACCGAGUUCAUUUAACGUAGCCACUGCCAGAAACCCUAGUCUUUUCGGUUUCACCGACAGGGAUCUCGGUCUCACCGAUAUGGGGUUGCAAAAUCUCUGUUUCCCUUCGUAACGUUUCGGUCUAACUGAGAUGAGCGAUCGGUCCCAACGAGUCUGCAAUGCAAACUCUCUAUUUCCCUUUCGUAACGCUUCGGUCCCACCGAGACGAGCGAAUCGGUCCCACCGAGUUUGCCUGACCAACUCUGUGUUAGCUUAUUACCAAAGUCGGUCCAACCGAGUUUGAGUAAUCGGUCCAACCAAGAUUACAUUAUGCCCUAACCCAAAUGAUAUUGGUCCCACCGAGUUGACAUGUCAGUCCCACCGAAAUUGCCUAAUGGUCACAUCAUGUACUAAAUCGGUCCGACCCAGUUUUUUGAUUCGGUCCCACCGAGUUUGGUAUAUUGUGUGUAACGGUUAGAUUUUGUGUGGAGGCUAUACAUACCCCUCCACCCUCUCCUCAUUCGCGAGGAAAGCCAUCAGAUCGUGCCUACACUUCCACUACCCAUUUUCUGAGAGAGAGCCACGUACUCAUGUGUUGAGACCAAGAUAUUCCAAUCCAACCAUAUGAAUCUUGAUCUCUAGCCUUCCCCAAGUUGCUUUCCACCAAAUCCAAUCAUAUGAGAGUGAGUUGAGUGUUGGGGAGACUAUCAUUUGAAGCACAAGAGCAAGGAGUUCAUCAUCAACACACCAUCUAUUACCUUUUGGAGAGUGGUGUCUCCUAGAUUGGUUAGGUGUCACUUGGGAGCCUCCGACAAGAUUGUGGAGUUGAACUAAGGAGUUUGUAAGGGCAAGGAGAUCGCCUACUUCAUGAAGAUCUACCCUAGUGAGGCAAGUCCUUCGUGGGCGAUGGCCAUGGUGAGAUAGAAAAGGUUGCUUCUUCGUGGACCCUUCGUGGGUGGAGCCCUCCGUGGACUCGCGCAGCUGUUACCCUUCGUGGGUUGAAGUCUCCAUCAACGUGGAUGUACGAUAGCACCACCUAUGGGAACCACGACAAAAACAUCCGUGUCACCUAUUGUGUUUGCACUCUCCAAACCCAUCCCUUUACAUUCUUGCAAGUUGCAUGCUUUACUUUUCGCUGCUCAUAUACUCUUUGCAUGCUUGCUUGAACUGUGUUAAGAUUGCUUGACUUGUUCUAAAUUGUUAAAAUCUGCCAAGAACUAAAGUUGGAAAAAGUUAAGUUUUUAUUUGGUCAAGUAGUCUAAUCACCCCCCCCCCCUCUAGACAUACUUUCGAUCCUACAGUAAUGAUACUAUGCGGGACACGAUAACGGUGUACGACGCCGGAUAUGAAGUCUAUAACCGGUCCAGCUUCAGCCGUUUUGACUGGUUUGGCUUCUAUCCACUUAGUGAACUUGUCGACCAUAACCAAUAAAUAUUUCUUCUUAUGGCUUCCCCCUUUAAGGGGUCCGACCAUGUCUAGCCCCCAAACCGCAAAAUGCCAAGUAAUGGGAAUUGUUCGUAGGGCAGUGGGCGGCAUAUGGCUUUGAUUGGCGAAAAGCUAGCAUCCAACGCAGCGCUGUACGAGGUCCUGUGCAUCUGCUCGGGCCGUGGGCCAAAAGAAACCCGUUCGGAAGGCCUUACUUACAAGGGCCCGGCCUGCGGCAUGAUGGCCACCGAGACCGGCGUGUAUUUCAGCCAAGAGCCGCCAUCCUUCUUCUUCGAUGAUGCAUCUUUGGAGUACUCCGGUGGUACUUUUCAUGUAUAGUUCCCCUUCAUGAACUUUGUAGGCCUUCGAGCGUCGAACAAUAUGAUGGGCCUCGGUCUGAUCAUGAGGGAGCUUGUUCCUCGUAAGGUAGGCGAGGAAAGGUUCAGUCCAUGGGGUAAUUACAACCAUGAUUUCAUGGGCGGAUGGUGUUAUUUCGGUUCCCAAACCCUCGAUUAUACCGGAACUGUGUUCGGAGUCUGGGGGUAUGGUCGGCUCCGGACCAGUGUUGCCACUCUCGUCCUUCCCACCAUGGAUGGCUUGAAGAGCCUCUCCACAAACGUGUUGGGUGGGACAGGGUCACGUUAAGUGCCCAUGCGAGCAAGGAUGUCCGCAGCUUGAUUACUCUCUCGAGCCAUGUGAUGAAACUCGAUCCCCUCAAACCGAGCCGAUAUUUUGAGUAUGGCGUUGCAGUAAGCUGCCAUCUUUGGAUCUUUUGCGCCGAAUUCAUCGUUUAUUUGGGAUAUUGCAUGGUUUAAAUCCCCGCGCACUUUGAGGCAUUGUAUGCCCAUGGAGACGGCCAUCCGAAGACCAUGCAAUAGGGCCUCGUACAAUAUUUGGAGCACAUAGCGAACUGUGUCUCCUGUGGAGGAUGUUAAGACGACGCCAGCCCCAAGUCCGGCUAGCAUUUUGGAUCCAUCGAAGUGCAUUACCCAAUUUGAAUAUGUGUCGUACUCUUUAGGGAGUUCGGCCUCUGUCCAUUCGGUGACGAAGUCGGCCAACACCUGAGAUUUAAUAGCUCGGCGUGGCUUGUAAGUUAUUCGAAUGGUAAGAGCUCAAUGGCCCAUUUGGCAAUCCGGUCGGUGGCGUCCCAGUUGUUUAUGAUAUCAUUGAGUGGUACUUCAGAGGCCACCGUGAUCGAGCACUCUUGAAAGUAGUGCCGCAGCUUGCGGGAUGCCAUAUUGUUUAUGAUAUCAUUGAGUGGUACUUCAGAGGCCACCGUGAUCGAGCACUCUUGAAAGUAGUGCCGCAGCUUGCGGGAUGCCAUAAAGACCGCAUAUGCUAUCUUUUGAUAGUGCGGGUAAUGGGACUUGCAUGGUGUAAGGACCAUCGAUAGGUAAUAUACUGGUUUUUCGUGUGAGAAUUUAUGUCCCUCUUCACCUCGUUCGACGACGAGCACCGCACUCACCACUUGGUGAGUUGCGGAUAUGUGGAUCUGUUGGGGAAUGUAGCAGAAAUUCAAAAUUUUCCUACGUGUCACCAAGAUCUAUCUAUGGAGAAACCAGCAACGAGGGGAAGGAGAGUGCAUCUACAUACCCUUGCAGAUCGCUAAGCGGAAACGUUCAAGAGAACGGGGUUGAAGGAGUCGUACUCGUCGUGAUCCAAAUCACCGGAGAUCCUAGUGCCGAACGGACGGCACCUCCGCGUUCAACACACGUACAGCCCGGUGACGUCUCCCAUGACUUGAUCCAGCAAGGAGGGAGAGGUUGAUGAAGACCCCAUCCAGCAGCAGCACAACGGCAUGGUGGUGAUGGAGGAGCGUGGUAAUCCAGCAGGGCUUCGCCAAGCACCGCGAGAUAUGAGGAGAAAGAGAGGUAGGGCUGCGCCAACAGGAGAAGAACUUCGUGUGUUGGGCUGCUCCUUUGCCUCCACUAUAUAUAGGGGGAGAGGGGGCUGCACCCCCACCUAGGUUUCCACCCCUAGGGGCGGCGGCCAUCCCUAGAUCCCAUCUAGGGGGGCGGCCAAGGGGUGGAGAGGGGGAAACUUGCCCCCCAAGCAAGGUGGGGCGCCCCCUCCCCAAACCCUAGGCGCCUUGGGCCCUUGAGGGGGGCGCACCAGCACACAUGGGGCUGGUCCCCUCCCACACUUGGCCCAUGCAGACCUCUGGGGCCGGUGGCCCCACUUGGUGGACCCCCGGGACCCUCCCGGUGGUCCCGGUACAUUACCGAUAAAACCCGAAACUUUUCCGGUGACCAAAACAUGACUUCCCAUAUAUAAAUCUUUACCUCCGGACCAUUGCGGAACUCCUCAUGACGUCCGGGAUCUCAUCCGAGACUCCGAACAACAUUCGGUAACCACAUACAAACUUCCUUUAUAACCCUAGCGUCAUCGAACCUUAAGUGUGUAGACCCUACGGGUUCGGGAACCAUGCAGACAUGACCGACAUGUUCUUCGGUCAAUAACCAACAGCGGGAUCUAGAUACCCAUGUUGGCUCCCACAUGUUCCACGAUGAUCUCAUCGGAUGAACCACGAUGUCAAGGACUCAAUCGAUCCCGUAUACAAUUCCCUUUUUCUAGCGGUAUAGUACUUGCCCGAGAUUCGAUCGCCGGUAUCCCGAUACCUUGUUCAAUCUCGUUACCAGCAAGUCUCUUUACUCGUUCCGUAACACAUCAUCCCGUGAUCAACCCCUUGGUCACAUUGUGCACAUUAUGAUGAUGUCCUACCGAGUGGGCCCAGAGAUACCUCUCCGUCACACGGAGUGACAAAUCCCAGUCUCAAUUCGUGCCAACCCAACAGACACUUUUGGAGAUACCUGUAGUGCACCUUUAUAGCCACCCAGUUACGUUGUGACGUUUGGUACACCCAAAGCAUUCCUACGGUAUCCGGGAGUUGCACAAUCUCAUGGUCUAAGGAAAUGAUACUUGACAUUAGAAAAGCUUUAGCAUAUGAACUACACGAUCUUUGUGCUAGGCUUAGGAUUGGGUCUUGUCCAUCACAUCAUUCUCCUAAUGAUGUGAUCCCGUUAUCAACGACAUCCAAUGUCCAUGGUCAGGAAACCGUAACCAUCUAUUGAUCAACGAGCUAGUCAACUAGAGGCUUACUAGGGACAUGGUGUUGUCUAUGUACCCACACAUGUAUCUGAGUUUCCGAUCAAUACAAUUAUAGCAUGGAUAAUAAACGAUUAUCAUGAACAAGGAAAUAUAAUAAUAACCAAUUUAUUAUUGCCUCUAGGGCAUAUUUCCAACAGUCUCCCACUUGCACUAGAGUCAAUAAUCUAGUUCACAUUGCCAUGUCAUUAAUACUCACAGGUCACAUCGCCAUGUGACCAACAUCCAAAGAGUUUACUAGUGUCACUAAACUAGUUCACAUCAUCAUGUGAUAAGACUCAAUGAGUUCUGGGGUUUGAUCAUGUUUUGCUUGUGAGAGAGGUUUUAGUCAACGAGUCUGCAACAUUCAGAUCCGUAUGUACUUCGCAAAUCUCUAGGUCAUAUUGUAAAUGCUGCUUCCAUGCUCCACUUGGAGCUAUUCCAAAUGGUUGCUCCACUAUACGUAUCCGGUUUGCUACUCAGAGUCAUUCGGAUAGGUGUUAAAGCUUGCAUCGACGUAACCCUUUACGUCGAACUCUUUCUCACCUCCAUAAUCGAGAAACAUGUCCUUAUUUACUCCAAGGACAAUUUUGAGCUCUAUCUGGUGAUCCACUCCUUGAUCACCUUUGUACCCUCUUGCCAGACAUGUGGCAAGGCACACAUCAGGUGCGGUACUUAGCAUAGCAUAUUGUAGAGCCUACAUCUAAAGCAUAGGGGACGACCUUCAUCCUUUCUCUCUCUUUUGCCGUGGUCGAGCUUUAAGUCUUAACUUCAUACCUUACAACUCAGGCAAGAACUCCUUCUUUGACUGAUCCAUCUUGAACACCUUCAAGAUCAUGUCAAGGUAUGUGCUCAUUUGAAAGUACCAUUAAGCGUUUUUGAUCUAUCCUUAUAGAUCUUGAUGCUCAAUGUUCAAGUAGCUUAAUCCAUGUUUUCUAUUGAAAAACACUUUUCAAAUAAGCCUAUAUGCUUUCCAGAAAUUCCACAUCAUUUCUGAUCAACAAUAUGUCAACCACAUAUACUAAUCAGAAAUUCUAUAGUGCUCCCACUCACUUCUUUGGAAAUACAAGUUUCUCAUAAACUUUGUUUAAACCCAAAAUCUUUGAUCAUCUUAUCAAAGCGUACAUUCCAACUCUGAGAUGCUUGCUCUAGUCCUUAGAAGGAUUGCUGGAGCUUUGCAUGCUUAUUAGCGUCUUUCUGGAUUGACAAAACCUUCUGGUUGUAUCACAUACAACCUUUCCUCAAGGAUACCGUCGAGGAAACAAUGUUUUGACAUCCUAUCUGCAAGAUUUCAUAAAUCAUGCAGUAAUUGCUAAUAUAAUUCCAACAGACUCUUAGCAUCGCUAUGAGUGAGAAAGUCUCAUCGUAGUCAACUCCUUGAACUUGUCAAAAAACAUCUUAACGACAAGUCGAGCUUUCUUAAUGGUCAUACUUACCAUCAUUGUCUGUCUUUCUUUAAAAUCCAUCUGUACACAACAGCCUUACGACCAUCAAGUAGUUCUUCCAAAGUCUACACUUUGUUUUCAUACAUGGAUCCUCUCUCAGAUUUUAUGGCCUCAAGCCAUUUGUCGGAAUCCGGGCCCACCAUCGCUUCUCCAUAGCUCGUAGGUUCAUUGUUGUCUAGCAACAUGACCUUCAAGACAGGAUCACCGUACCACUCCGAAACAGUACGCGUCCUUGUCGUCCUAUGAGGUUCGGUAGUGACUUGAUCCAAAACUUCAUGAUCACUAUCAUAAGCUUCUACAUCAAUUGGUGUAGGCGCCACAGGAACAACUUCCUGUGCCCUGCUACACACUAGUUGAAGUGACGGUUCAAUAACCUCAUCAAGUCUCCAGCAUCCUCCCACUAAAUUUUCGAGACAAAGUUUUCCUCGAGAAAGGACCUGAUUCAAGAAACAAUCCCUAUUGCUUUCGGAUCUGAAUUAGGAGGUAUACCCAACUGUUUUGGGUGUCCUAUGAAGAUGCAUUUUAUCCGCUUUGGGUUUGAGCUUAUCAACCUGAAACUUUUUCACAUAAGCGUCGCAACCCCAAACUUCUAAGAAACGACAACUUAGGUUUCUCCAAACCAUAGUUCAAACGGUGUCGUCUCAACGGAAUUACGUGAUGCCCUAUUAAAGUCUAAUGCCUAACCCAUGAACGAUAGUGGUAAUUCGAUAAGAGAUAUCAUGGUACGCACCAUAUCCAAUAGGGUGCAACUAUGAUGUUCGGACACACCAUCACACUAUGGUGUUCCAGGCGGUAUAAAUUGUGAAACAAUUUCCACAAUGUCUUAAUUGCGUGCCAAAGCUCGUAACUCAAAUACUCAUCUCUAUGAUCAUAUCAUAGACAUUUUAUCCUCUUGUCACGAUGAUCUUCAACUUCACUCUGAAAUUACUUGAACCAUUCAAUAAUUCAGACUUGUGUUUCAUCAAGUAAAUAUACUCAGUAUCUACUCAAAUCAUCCGUGAAGUAAGAACAUAACGAUAUCCACUGCGUGCCUGAGCACUCAUUGGACUGCACACAUCAAAAUGUAUUACUUCCAACAAGUUGCUUUCUUGUUCCAUCUUACUGAAAACGAGGCUUUUUCAGUCAUCUUGCCCAUGUGGUAUAAUUUGCAUAUCUCAAGUGGUUCAAAAUCAAGUGAGUCCAAACGAUCCAUCUGCAUGGAGUUUCUUCAUGCGUAUACACCAAUAGACAUGGUUUGCAUGUCUCAAACUUUUCAAAAAUGAGUGAGUCCAAAGAUCCAUCAACAUGGAGCUUCUUCAUGCGUUUUUAUGACUUACAUGGCAGUGCCACAAGUAGGUGGUACUAUCAUUACUAUCUUGUAUCUUUUGGCAUGAACAUGUGUAUCACUAUAAUCGAGAUUCAAUAAACCAUUCAUUUUAGGUGCAAUACCAUUGAAGGUAUUAUUCAAAAACCAGAGUAACCAUUAUUCUCCUUAAAUGAAUAACCGUAUUGCGAUAGACAUAAUCCAAUCAUGUCUAUGCUCAACGCAAACACCAAAUAACAAUUAUUUAGGUUUAACACCAAUCUCUAUGGUAGAGGGAGUAUACGAUGCUUGAUCAUAUCAAACUUGGAAACAGUUCCAACACAUAUCGUCAUCUCACCUUUAGCUAGUCUCCGUUUAUUCCGUAGCCUUUUAUUUCGAGUUACUAACGCUUAGCAACCGAACCGGUAUCUAAUACCUUGGUGCUACUAGGAGUACUAGUAAAGUACACAUUAACUUAAUGUAUAUCCAAUAUACUUCUAUCAACCUUGCCAGCCUUCUCAUCUACCAAGUAUCUAGGGUGAUUCUGCUUCAGUGGUUGUUCCCCUUAUUACAGAAGCACUUAGUCUCGGGUUUGGAUUCAAUCUUGGGUUUCUUCAUUAGAGCAGCAGCUGAUUUGCUGUUACAUGAAGUAUACCUUCUUGCCCUUGCCCUUCUUGAAACUAGUGGUUUCACCAACCAUCAACAAUUGAUGCUCCUUCUUGAUUUCUACUUUCGCGGUGUCAAACAUCACGAAUACCUCAAGGAUCAUCAUAUCUAUCCCUGAUAUGUUAUAGUUCAUCAUGAAGCUCUAGCAGCUUGGUGGCAAUGACUUUGGAGAAACAUCACUAUCUCAUCUGGAAGAUCAACUCCCACUCGAUUCAAGUGAUUGUUGCACUCAGACAAUCUGAGCACAAGCUCAACGAUUGAGCUUUUCUCCCUUAGUUUGCAGGCUAAGAAAAUCGUCGGAGGUCUUAUACCUCUUGACGUGGGCACGAGCCUGAAAUCCCAAUUUCAGCCCUCGAAACAUCUCAUAUGUUCUGCGACGUUUCGAAAACGUCUUUGGUGCCUCAACUCUAAACCGUUUAACUGAACUAUCACGUAGUUAUCAAAGCGUGUAUGGCCGAUGUUCAAAACAUCCACAGACGACGUUUGGGGUUCAGCUCACUGAGCGGUGCAUUAAGGACAUAAGCUUUCUACUGUCCGCAUAAUCGCUACUGUCAACUUUCAACUAUAUUUUCUCUAGGAACAUAUCUAAAACAGUAGAACUAAAGCACAAGCUUACGACAUAAUUUGCAAAAACCUUUUGACUAUGUUCAGGAUAAUUAAGUUCAUCUAAUGAACUCCCACUUAGAUAGACAUCCCUCUAGUCAUCUAAGUGAUUACAUGAUCCGAGUCAACUAGGCCGUGUUCGAUCAUCAUGUGAGACGGACUAGUCAUCAUCGGUGAACAUCUUCAUGUUGAUCGUAUCUACUAUACGACUCAUGCUCGACCUUUCGGUCUCUUGUGUUCCGAGGCCAUGUCUGUACAUGCUAGGCUCGUCAAGUCAACCUAAGUGUUUCGCGUGUGUAAAUCUGGCUUACACCCGUUGUAUGUGAACGUUAGAAUCUAUCACACCCGAUCAUCACGUGGUGCUUAGAAAUGACGAACUUUCGCAACGGUGCACAGUUAGGGGGAACACUUUCUUGAAAUUUUAAUGAGGGAUCAUCUUAUUUACUACCGUCGUUCUAAGCAAAUAAGAUGCAUAAACAUGAUAAACAUCACAUGCAAUCAAAUAGUGACAUGAUAUGGCCAAUAUCAUUUUUCUCCUUUUGAUCUGCAUCUUCGGGGCUCCAUGAUGAUCAUCGUCACCGUCAUGACACCAUGAUCUCCAUCAUCGUGUAUUCAUGAAGUUGUCUCGCCAACUAUUACUUCUACUACUAUGGCUACCGGUUAGCAAUAAAGUAAAGUAAUUACAUGGCGUUGUUUAAUGACACGCAGGUCAUACAAUAAAUUAAGACAACUCCUAUGGCUCCUGCCGGUUGUCAUACUCAUCGACAUGCAAGUCGUGAUUCCUAUUACAAGAACAUGAUCAAUCUCAUACAUCACAUAUCAUUCAUCACAUUCUUCUUGGCCAUAUCAUAUCACAUAGCAUACCCUACAAAAACAAGUUAGAUGUCCUCUAAUUGUUGUUUGCAUGUUUUACGUGGCUGCUAUGGGUUUCUAGCAAGAAUGUUUCUUACCUACGCAAAACCACAACGUGAUAUGCCAAUUGCUAUUUACCCUUCAUAAGGACCCUUUUCAUCGAAUCCGUUCUGACUAAAGUGGGAGAGACUGGCACCCGCUAGCCACCUUAUGCACCAAGUGCAUGUCAGUCGGUGGAACCUGUCUCACGUAAGUGUACGUGUAAGGUCGGUCCGGGCCGCUUCAUCCCACAAUACCGUCGAAACAAGAUUGGACUAGUAAUGGUAAGCAUAUUGAACAAAAUCAACACCCACAACUACUUUGUCUUCUACUCGUGCAAAGAAUCUACGCAAUAGACCUAGCUCUGAUACCACUGUUGGGGAACGUAGCAGAAAUUUAAAAUUUUCCUACGUGUCACCAAGAUCUUUGUAUGGAGAAACCAGCAACGAGGGGAAGGAGAGUGCAUCUACAUACCCUUGUAGAUCGCUAAGCGGAAGCGUUCAAGAGAACGGGGUUGAAGGAGUAGUACUCGUCGUGAUCCAAAUCACCGGAGAUCUUAGUGCCGAACGGACGGCACCUCCGUGUUCAACACACGUACAACCCGGUGACGUCUCCCAUGCCUUGAUCCAGCAAGGAGAGAGGGAGAGGUUGAUGAAGACCCCAUCCAGCAGCAGCACAACGGCGUGGUGGUGAUGGAGGAGCGUGGUAAUCCAGCAGGGCUUCGCCAAGCACCGCGAGAUAUGAGGAGAAAGAGAGGUAGGGAUGCGCCAACCGGAGAAGAACUUCGUGUGUUGGGCUGCUCCUUUGCCUCCACUAUAUAUAGGGGGAGAGGGGGCUGCGCCCCCACCUAGGUUUCCACCCCUAGGGGCGGCGGCCAGCCCUAGAUCCCAUAUAGGGGGGCGGCCAAGGGGUGGAGAGGGGGAAACUUGCCCCCCAAGCAAGGUGGGGCGCCCCCGCCCCAAACCCUAGGCGCCUUGGGCCCAUGUGGGGGGGCGCACCAGCCCACCUGGGGCUGGUCCCCUCCCACACUUGGCCCAUGCAGCCCUCUAGGGCCGGUGGCCCCACUUGGUGGACCCCCGGGACCCUCCCGGUGGUCCCGGUACAUUACCGAUAAAACCCGAAACUUUUCCGGUGACCAAAACAGGACUUCCCAUAUAUAAAUCUUUACCUCCGGACCAUUCUGGAACUCCUCGUGGUGUCCGGGAUCUCAUCCGGGACUCCGAACAACAUUCGGUAACCACAUACAAACUUCCUUUAUAACCCUAGCGUCAUCGAACCUUAAGUGUGUAGACCCUACGGGUUCGAGAACCAUGCAGACAUGACCGAGACGUUCUCUGGUCAAUAACCAGCAGCGGGAUCUGGAUACCCAUGUUGGCUCCCACAUGUUCCACAAUGAUCUCAUCGGAUGAACCACGAUGUCAAGGACUCAAUCGAUCCCGUAUACAAUUCCCUUUGUCUAGCGGUAUAGUACUUGCCCGAGAUUCGAUCGUCGGUAUCUCGAUACCUUGUUCAAUCUCGUUACCGGCAAGUCUCUUUACUCGUUCCAUAACACAUCAUCCCGUGAUCAACCCCUUGGUCACGUUGUGCACAUUAUGAUGAUAUCCUACCGAUUGGGCCCAGAGAUACCUCUCCGUCACACGGAGUGACAAAUCCCAGUCUCGAUUCGUGCCAACCCAACAGACACUUUCGGAGAUACCCUUAGUGCACCUUUAUAGCCACCCAGUUACAUUGUGACGUUUGGUACACCCAAAGCAUUCCUACGGUAUCCGGGAGUUGCACAAUCUCAUGGUCUAAGGAAAUGAUACUUGACAUUAGAAAAGCUUUAGCAUAUGAACUACACGAUCUUUGUGCUAGGCUUAGGAUUGGGUCUUGUCCAUCACAUCAUUCUCCUAAUGAUGUGAUCUCGUUAUCAACGACAUCCAAUGUCCAUGGUCAGGAAACCGUAACCAUCUAUUGAUCAACGAGCUAGUCAACUAGAGGCUUACUAGGGACAUGGUGUUGUCUAUGUACCCACACAUGUAUCUGAGUUUCCUAUCAAUACAAUUAUAGCAUGGAUAAUAAACGAUUAUCAUGAACAAGGAAAUAUAAUAAUAACCAAUUUAUUAUUGCCUCUAGGGCAUAUUUCCAACAAGAGCAACAUCGGUUCACCAACGUUUGGUGCAGCCAGGAUUGGGUUACUUGCUAACAAAGUUUUUAUUUCUUCCAGUCCGGUUGUGGCAGCGUCCGUCCACACGAAGUGGUGAGUGCGUCGGAGCAGGCGAUAUAAAUGCCAAUGCCUUUUCCCCUAGUCUGGAUAUGAAACGGCUCAAAGCUGCCAGACACUUAGCUAGUUUUUGGACCUGCUUGAGGUCUGUUGGUGUUGCCAACUGUAACAGGGCUCGGAUUUUGGCUGGGUUUGCUUCGAUUCCUCUAUUGGAGACGAUGAACCCAAGCAUUUUUCCGGCUGGAACGCCGAAAAUGCAUUUUUUCGGAUUGAGACGUAUGUUAUAUGCUCGGAGGUUGUCAAAUGUAAGGCAUAAGUCAUCCACCAAUGAUUCAACAUGCUUGGUUUUGAUGACUACGUCAUCUACAUAUGCCUCCACAGUUUUGACGAUUUGCUUUUCCAGGCAUGUUUGAAUCAUGCGUUGGUAGGUUGCACUGGCGUUCUUGAGCCCGAAAGGCAUAGUGUUGAAGCAAAAGGGUCCAUACGGGGUGAUGAAUGCCGUUGCGGCUUGGUCGGAUUCUUUCAUCUUGAUUUGAUGGUAUCCAGAGUAUGUGUCGAGGAAACACAGAGAAUCGUGUCCAGCGGUCGCGUCAAUAAUCUGGUCGAUGUGAGGCAGUGGGAAGGGAUCCUUAGGGCAAGCCUUAAUAAAGUCUUUGAAAUUGACAUACAGGUGCCAGGAUUUAUCCUUCUUCGGUACCAUGACCAAGUUUGCUAGCCAGUCCGGAUGUUUGAUCUCUCUGAUAAACCCGGCUUCGAGUAGCUUGGCUAGCUCCUCCCCCAUAGCCUGUCGUUUGGGUUCGGAAAAUCCGCGCAACGUUUGCUUGACUGGUUUGUAUCCUUUCAGUAUAUUGAGACUAUGCUCGGCCAGUCUUCGUGGGAUACCUGGCAUAUCCGAGGGGUGCCAGGCAAAGAUGUCCCAGUUCUCACGCAGGAAUGCACGUAAUGCAGCGUCGACUGUCAGAUCCAGCUGUGCCCCAAUGGAAGCUGUCUUCUUGGGGUUUGUCGGGUGGACUUGAAAUUUGACUAUUUCGUCUACUAGCUUGAAGGAAGUGGAUUUGGGUCUCUUAUCCAGGAUUACGUCAUCCCUAUCCACUGUGGAAUGGAGGGUGGUUAAUUGUUCGGUCACGAGGGCCUCGGAUAAAGCCUCGAAGGCUAGAGAGGCAGUUUUGUUUUCGGCGCGGAGUGCUAUGUCUGGAUCACUGGUGACAGUGAUAACUCCAUUGGGCCCGGGCAUUUUAAGCUUCAUAUACCCGUAAUGGGGUACGGCUUGGAAGCGUGUGAAUGUGUCUCACCCCAGCAGGGCGUGAUACCCACUAUUAAAAGGUGCCGCAUGUAAGAGUAACUCUUCGGACCUAUAGUUCUCUGGCUUGCCGAAUACUACAUUGAGUUUGAUUUUCCCCGAGCAUCUUGCUUCCCGCUAGGGAUAAUACCUCGAAAGGUUGUGUUACUUUGCUCAAUGCGACUCCUGUCCAUUUGCAUUUUAUUGAGCGUGUCUUCAUAGAUGAGGUUUAGUCCGUUGCCGCCGUCCAUUAGCACUUUAGUGAGCCGAAAGCCAUCCACGAUUGGGUUUAGAACCAAAGCGGCUGGUGCCUGGACUGAGUGGGAUGUUGGUUUGUCAUCAGCAUUGAAAGUGAUUGCCGUACUGUUCCAAGGAUUUACUGCUGCCACUUGGCAGACUUCGGUGAUGUCGCGGAGCGCCCUUUUGGGCCGAUUAUUUGAUGAAAAGGUCUUGAAGACUGUGAAUACUUUGAGAUCGUUGUCCUCCGAAGAGUAGUUCUCUGGGGUGUUGUUGGUGAGGAUACCCUCGCCACUCUUGGCCACUCGCCGGAGUAUCCAACAUGCUUGGAGGCUAUGCAUUGGUUCGGUUAUCGGAGUCAUGUGAAUUUGACAGGGCUUGUCAAGCCAUUCCUCGAGGACAAUUCUAUGCCCCAUAAAGGGCUUGAUUUUCUUAUCCACGGGUGAUGAUUAGGUGCUCCGCGAGGGUGCAUCCUUUUUGCCCGUCCGGGAGAUGGCCUAGAGGCAUGUGGUUCCCAGCGGGCUGUCUGGGUUUUCCACGCGCUUUCCAUUGCGCAAUACUUCUGUACUAUGUGUGCCAAAUCUGCAAAGUGCAGUACACGAUGGCGGUUGAGGGCAUUAAGGAUUCCCUCAUUUGUACAAUUGUUGCAAAAUACCGAGACCGCGUCAUCGUCGCAACAAUCUUUGAUCUUGUUUUUAACAAGGAGGAAUAUGGCCCAAAAGUGGUGGACUAUUUCCUGAGGCUGCUGUCGCACGUACAUUAAGUCGCAUAUGUUGGGAGGACCGGGAUUGCUUGGAGAAUAUUGCUUGUGGUGGGUGGGAGGGCUUGAAUCCGAACCUUGACCCAUUGUGAAGUCCAGACUCUGAAGAAUUUCCGAGGUUACAAGCCCGGGCUCCGGAGCGUCCGGUGAGUUCUUAGGCUCAACGCCCGAUUCUAUGUUCGGAGGACAAGAAGUGUCCUCCCGAGGGUGGGUGUCCGGCUCUUCAAGCUUGGAAAUCCGAACAUACCUUGUUCUCAACGUAGGAGAAGAGUUAUUGUUAGCUUGUUCCUCCACAAUUGCCACCAGAUGGGUGAUCGAUGGAGAUUUGAUUUCUCUCUGAUCGGGUUUAAGCCCAAUCUAAUCAUAGUCGGUUGCGACCCCCAGGGCGGCGAUGCGAUCUAGCAGUUCAUUUAAGGCUAAUACAUCUGCCAGAUCCAUCUUGCCAGAGUACUCAGGGCCUACGCGGAGGCGAUUUUCGGUGACAGGCUGGGCUACCUUUGGCUUAAUGGCCGAACGAGUGCCCAUGGUAUAGCUGCCAAGCUGAAGGGUUUUCCCUCAAGCUAGGGCUCCUCCAGAAGUGAUACUGUCCUUGAUGACAAGGCGAGCCAUCAACCCUUCUAUCGACGGCACAGAGGAACUCUCAAUGAAAGCACCAAUGUCGGUGUCAAAACCGGCAGAUCUCGAGUAGGGGUUCCCGAACUGUGCGUCUAAGGAUUGAAGGUAACAGGAGGCAGGGGACAUGAUGUUUACCCAGGUUCGGGCCCUCUUAAUGGAGGUAAUACCCUACUUCCUGCUUGAUUGACUUUGAUGAGUAUAGGGAUUACAAGAGUUGAUCUACCUCGAGAUCGUGAUGGCUAAACCCUAGAUGUCUAGCCUGUAUGAUUGUGAUUACCACUAUGGACUACGCCCUCCGGUUUAUAUAGGCAUCGGAGAGGACUAGGGUUGUACAAAGUCGGUUUACAGAGGAAGGAAACUAUACAUCCGGACGCCAAGCUUGUCAUCCACGCAAAGGAGAGUCCCAUCCGGACACGAGAGAAUGCCUUCUGUCUUGUAUCUUCACGGCCCAUCAGCUCGGCCCAUGUCACAUAGGCCGGCUCCCCGAGGACCCCAUAAUCCAGGACUCCGUCAAUUGCGAAAAGCCGAAUACAAUUCUUUUACAGAGGAAAGCCGAUGUGUAUUCUUUAAGGAACCCGCCUUGCAAUGCCGAAGACAAUCUGAAGCGCUGAAUAUAUCAUCAUUGAAGACUGGUUCAGGGGCUACUGUGGGAGUCCUGGAUUAGGGGUCCUCGGGCGUCCGGUCUAUUGAUGUGGGCCGGACUGAUGGGCCGUCAAGAUACAAGCAGAAGAUUAUCUCUCGUGUCCGGUGGGAACUCUCACAUGCGUGGAUGGCAAGUGUAGGUGUCCAGAUAUUUUAUUCCUUUUUGUAAAACCAACUUUGUACAACCCUAAGCCCCUCCGGUGUCUAUAUAAACCGGAGGGUUAGGUCGGAGGCAAGAUCAUAACAAUACUGCUAGGCUAGUUAUCUAGGGUUAGCCGAAUCGAUCUCGAGGUAGAUCAACUCUUGUAACCCCUAUACCCUCAAGUAUAAUCAAGCAGGAGUAGGGUUUUACCUUCAUUAAGAGGGCCCAAACCUGGGUAAAUACCGUGUCCCUUCUCCAUUGUUACCAUUGAUCUUCAGACGAACAACUUGGGCCCCCCUACCAGAGAUCUGCCGGUUUUGACACCGACAAGAGGGCGAAACGAGAAGGUGCGGCGGCCUAGCUAACGGAGAGGUUCGAGGACAUCUUGUCGAAGAAGGAGGAGGCAUGCGUGAAGCGCUCGAACCUCAAGGAGGAGAAAAAGGCGGAGAGAUUCAAAUUGUUGAUAGAGGCGACUGACAACAAGGUCAAGCUCGAAGAGAGGAGGACCAUGAUCGAAGAGAGGAAGGUCGCACUCGAGGAAAAGAAAUUGGAGACCACCGCCAAAGUGAGGAUGCCAAGAUGUUGACCUUGAAUCUGGACUCUUUGGACGCCGAUACAAAAAUGAUCGUGCAAUCCGCUCGCUACCAGAUGUUGUAGUUGUCAAUUGAUAGCAGCGGGCCAUGAGGACGAGGCGGAUGCGGACGCAGAGGCUGUCUACGCAGCGGCGACGACACCCUGAUUGGGAGCAGACGGCUGGGAUUGCCGAUCCGGUAGGGCAAAUAAUUGCAUGGACUAUCGGGCUAAUAUUUUUUUGGAUUCGGGCAUGUAAAAACUAAGCAUACUCCCUUUCUCUGUUGUUAUUAGGCAUGCAAUCCGGCGCGCCGUGUGGAUCAGUCUAAAUUUGAAUUUCAAAUUCCCUUUACUGACAGAUAUAUACGCGAUAGCAUUGUAUGGCGGCAUUUCGCAUUCGUGUCCAUGAACGGAUGCGGGAGAAAAUUUGCGGGCCGCCGUUAGAAAUGCCCUAACCAAGCGACGGAGAAAGCUCAAUGCAAGGUGACUUUCACAUGUGUUUGCUUGCUAGUACGUAUAGUACUUUGCUUUGCUCAUCCCUCCCAAAACAGAAGCAUGCAACAACAGGUAACUCUCGCGUAAAGCCAGGAACAAGUACCACUAGCACUACCACAAGCAGAAGCCAUGAGCAUACACUACUACAUGUCCUCUUUGCAUUUAUUUAUAGGAAGAUUUGCAUCCAAAGAAAUUGUCCGUGUACGUACGGUGUACCCUCAGCUUUCAAUAACGCCUGUUUGCACCAAACCAACGGUACGGCGUCCUUUCUUUUUCAUAGAUAGGAUCGUGCAUACCACAUUCGUACCGCCAGUACCAUACCGUCCUUGCCCCGAGAACAAUUGCGUGCUCACGCACACACUGUUACACUAAGCACAAGACACGCCGGAAAAAGGAAGAUAAGAUCUGUUUACCAGACAAGUGAACCAAACCAAACCAUUUCCUGACAGCUCUCUGCCGCUGUCUACCAACGCCGAUGUGGUUCGAGAGCCAGAAGAUGUGUCUGCAUGCGCAUGGCACUGUGCCGCACAACCGUAUUUCAUCUUCUUGGUCGUCGUCAUGAUGCAUGAGACAGGGCGCGCGGCCAUGGCAGGACACGUGAGCUUAACUAAAUGGCCGCCGGCCCGCCCGCGCGCUCCCUUUAUCUUUACUCCUCGCCUCGCCUCCUUUGCCCGCUUCUACGCCUCCGCUUUUCGGCCCUCUCCCUUUAUUUUAUUUUUGUUUUCGCUGCCCCGUAAUCUAUGUUGCGCGUGGACCCCAUAUCAGUAGUACGGGAGGAGGGAGGUUUAAAGCCGUUGCGUUGCUUUGGAGGAUGGAUGAUGAGGUUGACGUCGUGCUGGGUCGGGUCGCGCAUCGGGCGGCGUGUGACGCACACUGACACAAUGGAGUAUUCUUCUGUUGCUCUUUUAAUGACCGGGAUUAAGAUACUACCACCACUGCACACAAUUCUCUACUGUGGCACAGUAGAGUAGCUUCUUCAUGCAGGCAGGCACGCGGUGGGAUGAUGCAGAAGAAGCGCAGGCUUCUCAUGGAUCUUGACCUUGACCGCAUAGUUUCGCAUGGAUUUUUUUUCGAAUAUGCACGAGUGUGCAUAUUAUAUAUUAUAGAAGAAAGGUAAAGAGUGCCUCCACCAUAGUUCCAAGGUUCAUAUUACAACACUCCUAAUCCUCACUACUAGCCCACCGUUCAAGCCGAAGGAAGAAGGUGUCCAUGUCUCUCUUAAACUUGCCGGCAAUAGACCACAUUCUUCCUUCCGACCUUACUCUACCUAGUAAAACACCUAACGAAGGUGAUGCCCCACCCCAUCAAACACAAUAGCAUUGCGAUGCUUUCACAGCUCCCACAAAGUCAGCAAGAAAACCGUAUGAAGAUCCUUCUUGUGCCAGCCGUUAGUCCCAUGCUUCUCCGCAAGCCAGAUGGCUAAGGAAUCAUGUGCAGUCGGAGUCCAGUCCAGCAUGCCCAGCGCCUCACAUACUGCAGCCCACGCUGACUUGGCAAAGACGCACGUCAGUAGCACAUGAUCAAUCGUUUCGUCCUCCUGGUCGCAUAAGGGGCAUGCAUCCUGGUGUGGGAGGCCUCUCCUCGCCAGUCUGUCAGAGGUCCAACACCUGUUUCUUAAGGCAAGCCAAGCAAAAAACUUGCAGGUAGCUGGGGCGUGAGACUUCCAGGUCAGCUCUGCCAUAGGCUCAACCGUCCGUCCCCAAAAUUUUGCCGCGUAAGCCGAGCGCACCGAGAAACGGCAGUUGGUCUCCCAUGACCAACCGACCAAGUCCGGCCCAUCCGCCUGCUGCUCCCACGUGCUUACUUUGAUCCAAAGCUGUAAGUACUCCUGCAAUGCUCCCUCACCAAUAUUCGGGCCAACAUCCGAUGCCCAAGACCCAUUUUGCACAGCCUGGGCGACUGAUCUCGUCAAUCUGGUCCGCCUUGGGAUCAUACCAUAUAUUGUUGAAGCAAUCUCUUGUAUCCGCAUACCAUCUAGCCAACGAUCCUCCCAAAAAAGUGUAUGGAGACCACAGUUUGCUUCACUCCUCAUAGCCGCCUGGACAAGUAACUUAGCUUCUUUGGGGAUCUUGAUCUUGAACUCGCUCCAAGGUCUACUCGUGUCCACUCUUGUGAGCCAUGCCCACCUGGCUUGCAUGGCCACAUUCAGCCAUCCAAGGUUAGGUAUCCCUAAGCCACCAGCCCACUUCGGCGCACACACCGAAUCCCAAGCAACCGCACAGUUCCCUCCGUUAGCUUCCGCUCUUCUGCACCAUAGGAAGCCUCUACACACUUUGUUCAUUGCCGCAAUCGUCUUCUUUGGUAAGUCGAGCGCCAUCAUGGCGUGGAUGGGCAUGGCACAGAGCACAGACUUCACCAAUGUAAGCCGCCCACUCUUCGGCAUUAGAGCCGCUUUCCACUUAGGCAGACAAUUUGCCAUCUGAUCAACUAGAAACUGCAUUUGUGCCGCGGACUGCUUCCUCAAGGUCAGCGGCAGCCCAAGGUACUUAAUUGGAAAAGCCCCUCUCGGGCAUCCCAGCCGAUGACACACCGUACCUGCCUCCUGAUCAUUGCAUCUUAUCGGUAGGGCCACCGAUUUGCCCAUGUUUAUCCUCAAGCCCGAAGCCUCUCCAAACAUUUCCAGAAUGUUCUUGCAUAUGUCUAGCUCCGUGGACUUGGGCUUGAUGAACACCACCACAUCAUCAACGAAUAUAGACAAGGCGCUGCCUCAUACCUGUAUGUGCCAAGGGCUCCAACGCACCACUAGUCGUGGCCCUCUGAAACAACCUCUGCAACGGUUCCAUAGUAAGAAUGAAUAGCAUCGGCGAUAUCGGAUCCCCUUGUCGCAGCCCCUUGCAGUUAUAGAUGGUGUCGCCGGGGUCUCCAUUUACCAUGACUUUGGUGGUGGAUGUUGAAAGGAUUCCACAGAUCCAGGAUCUCCACCCAGGGCCAAACCCCAAUUCGCAUGGAUUUGAUUUGUUUGUUUGCUAUUAUUGCUAGGAUUACUUUUUCUGCUAGGUGUAUUUUACAGUCUUGAUGAAAGAAAGCCAAUAAUGCUCUUCUUAUACAAGAUUGGGAGGGAGGAAUAGACAUGAUGCCAAAAUCCAACGAGAAACGGGGCGAGACUUGGGACCCCAUUCCACUCAAUUCAAUUCAAUUUAAAGUGGACACAAAGCUAAUCUCCGGGCACCACAGCACGUACCGCCCAAAAUAAAUAGGGCGUCCAGCAAUUGGCAUAAGUGCAGCACAAGCUAAGGACGGGGGUUGCUUUCGGCCGCGGCGAUUUACAGACAACAACAACGUCGAUAAACCUCAUUCAUUCAGUUGUUUCCCACCCCAAUCUCCUGACUGUGCGCAGCUGUUUUCGAAAACAAGUCGGGAGAUCUCGUGCUCCACCCGAAAAGCGCAAGCGAACAAGGGCGACAGCGACUAAUCCGGCCAGUCUCACAUCGGCUGGAAAGCAACCCUCUCCAGCUCCAGCUCCAGUCCCGGCCAAAAUUUAAGCCCCAUCCCCAAAAGCAAGGAUAGGGAUCCAUGGCUUAAUCGCCGCCAUCGAAACCAAACCUACAUCUAAUCGAAGCAGAAAAAAAGGGCUAGCCGCGCUCUCUCGCCACCCUCGGCCUGGGCUCGGGGUCGGGGUCGGGCCACCAUUACUCCCACUCCACCUUCCCCGUUUCAAUUCACUCCAGUCCAGUCCCCACACUCCAACUAAAAGCUCGCUCUUUCCUUCUCUCUCUCUCUCUCCUCUCCGCCAUGGCCGCCUACUCUUCCUCCUCCUAGCGCGCGCCCCACCGCCAGCAGCGCGAUCCAGAUCCCACCCGGCGCCCGCCCAUGGGGGGCUGCCACGCCAAGCCGCGCACCCGCGACGCCGACGGCGCAUCCCCGCCGCCACCCGCGCCGGCCACGCCCCCGCCGGCCUCCUCCACGGCGCCCGCCACGCCGGCCUCCAAGAAGCACUGGACGUCCUCCCCCUUCUUCCCCUUCUCCACGCCCAGCCCCAGCCCGGCGCACCACCUCUUCUCCUCCUCCGCGGCCUCCCCGAGGACCUCCUCCAAGUCCCCCGCCCCGGCGGGCUCCAAGUCCCCGGCGCCCACCACCCCGGCCAGGCGCCUCCUGCGCCUGCCCUUCCCGCCGCCCUCGCCCGCCAAGCACAUCCGCCAGGCGCUCGCGCGGAGGCACGGCCCGUCGCGCCCGGCGAUCCCCGAGGAGGGCGGCGACAGCGACGGCGGGAGGGGCCUCGACAAGGGCUUCGGCUUCAACAAGGGCUUCGCCGCCAAGUACGACCUCGGGGACGAGGUCGGGAGGGGCCACUUCGGCUACACCUGCGCCGCCAGGAUCAGGAAGGGCGCGCGCAAGGGGGACGCCGUCGCCGUCAAGGUCAUCCCCAAGGCCAAGGUGAUGACCUACCUGCAACUUCUGCAAACGCUUUUUUUCUGAAAGUUGAUGCCGCGCUAGUUUAGAUUUGUGAAUUUCUGUUGGAUAAUGCGCUACUCUCAUGACUUUUGUGCUUUUGAAUGAUGCCGUAUAAAUGUCCUUCAUAUUUUGUUGAACAGAGAAAGGUAAAGCAUGUUCUCCUGAAAGCAACUACUCACUAAUCUAAUCAAAGUUUUUGAGAACUGGAUGCAUGCCUGUUCAUUUCCUAAGAAGCGUGGCCCCUUCUUGUCUACAGGAGUAUAGUGAGUAGAUGUGCCUUGUUACAGGUGUUCCCUGACAUCAUGGGCAGGGUUCAUGUACUAACAUGCUAUUGAUCCACAUCGUGCAUUGUAAAAAGAAUAUCUAAUUUUAUCACAUGCAUCGUACCUGUAUAUAAGAAUAAUAUGGAUUACGAGAUCUUCUACGUUCAGCAUUGUUGCAUGGCACGUACUAGGUAACAUAUUAACUUAUGUGCUGUAAAAUAUUAAAUAUGCCCACUUGAAUGAUGAGAUCUGAGCAGGUCCUGUCAUUUUUUGUUAUGGAGUUUACACUUGAUAUUCCGUAACUACUUUGCCUAUUGCUCUUUUAUCGCUGUGCCAUCUGGUUUAAGCUCUCCAUGGUUGCAAUCUCCGUUAUUUGGGUCACCACGUUUCAGUGCUUUACUUGAGGAUUAAUACCAUCAUUUUGUCAUAGCUAGGCAUGAACUUAGUUCCUUAGUCCUUGUAUGUACAUUUUUUUAGUAUCAUCUGAAGUUGCUCUAAUCUCUUGUCAGAUGACAACAUCCAUUGCUAUAGAGGAUGUCCGGAGGGAGGUGAAAAUUUUGAAGGCUUUAGCAGGGCACAAGAACUUGGUUCAGUUUUAUGAUGCAUAUGAGGACAACGAAAAUGUCUACAUAGUCAUGGAGUAAGUUCCAGUACCUUGAUAGUCACAAUGUGUUUUGACCUCAAUUUUACAUGCUAUGAGGAUGCUCUCCUUAAGAUGUCAAGUAGAGUAGAGUAGCUUUUUGCCCUCGUUAUCAAUACUCUCAACUACAAGCAUAGAAAACAAACUCACUGAAUAAUCAGUUCCAGUUUAUUAACCCAACUUGAAUAGUUUUCCACAGUCCCUUUUUAUUAAGAUUCUUUGAUCUACUAAUUGUUGGUGCAGCAAUAAUUACCUUUCAGAAGCAUAUAAAUGUGUUAUCUUGUGUGCUUAAAAACGUCUUUAACAACCAUAUGUUAUUUCAUCCAUAUGUCUGGACGGUUAGUUACCUUUUCAGUUCUUAGGUUAGUUCUUGUUCGUACGUUAGUUACUGGCAGUUUAAAUAAUCUGGUAGCAGUUAUCACUUGAUAAUGCAUGAUGAAAAUGAACAUACAUUAAUGUCAUUUGGGGCAGCCACACUGUUUUAAAUAUGCUUGCAGUGCAACUGGAUACUCUUUUAUUUUUCCGUCCAAUUGCCCAAACUUGACAACAAAUAUUUCGCCAAUAAAAAGGAUUUCCAGAUAUGGCCAAAUCCAGAUGAUGUCAUUACUACAGGUCGUUGAAUGUUGUCUUAUAUUAGACAUCUUUUUUUUGGCAUCUAUGUUUAGCUUCUAUACCUUCUGCUGAUGGUGAUCCCUGUACGCUAUAUUCUGGAUUUCAAAUGCCAUGCACUCUGUGUUUAGUUUUUUUUUAAUAUUUAACUAAAAAUCCCGUUGUUUAGGUUGUGUGAGGGCGGGGAGCUUCUGGAUAGAAUACUUUCCAGGUAAGCUACAAAUAAACUUACAUUAUGGUAUACAACAUUAUGGUUUAUUACGAAAUACUUUAAUAUAGCUUAUGUUUUGCAUUCAUUUUAAGUAGAGGUGGGAAGUACUCCGAGGAUGAUGCAAAGUCUGUCCUGGUCCAAAUAUUGAAUGUUGUCGCUUUUUGCCACAUCCAAGGAGUGGUUCACAGGGAUCUCAAACCAGAGGUGAAGUGCCUUUUCAGUUUUACCUGCAUCUCAUCAGUUGUCAUCAUUACCAUGUUUGAGAUAUUAGAAAGUGAUGAUUUAAACAGCGCUGGUAAACAAGCCAUGUCUUUUAAGGCAAAUGGUGAUGGUUACCUGUUUCUACUUCCAAUGUUCGAACCUCCUUUCCGAAAAAAAUUUACACUAUUUCAAGAGACGUAUAAUUUGUUCAUGGCAUUCCUUAGAUGGUUUAUUUAUUGUAUUGCCUUUGUCUUCUCCUGUGAAUAAGAUAUAAUUUUACUGUUAUUGUAUUUGACAUUGCAAUGGAUUUCUAAAAUGUUUGUGUUUUUUCUCUUCAGAAUUUUCUUUUUACUUCGAAAGAUGAGAACUCUCAACUUAAGACAAUUGACUUUGGAUUAUCAGACUUUGUAAAACCAGGUUAGUUUCUUGCUCAUCAAUCUACAUAUCUGUUGAUUUGUACUCCCUCUGUAAACUAAUAUAAGAGCAUUUAGAUCACUACUUUAGUGAUCUAAAUGCUCUUAUAUUUCUUUACGGAGGGAGUACUUGCCAUCAGUGAAGAUAAUACUACCCACUAGCACUUUUUUAAUGCAAUGUUCUAAUACCUUAUGCAGAUGAGAGACUAAAUGAUAUAGUUGGAAGUGCUUAUUAUGUUGCUCCGGAAGUUCUACAUAGAUGCUAUAGCACAGAAGCGGAUGUAUGGAGUAUAGGUGUCAUUGCAUAUAUCCUCCUUUGUGGCAGCCGCCCUUUUUGGGCACGCACUGAAUCUGGCAUAUUCCGUUCUGUUCUCAAAGCUGACCCCAGUUAUAAUGAGGCACCUUGGCCUUCUCUAACUCCAGAAGCAAUGGACUUUGUUAAGCGCUUGCUGUGCAAGGAUCCACGUAGAAGGAUGACUGCAGCACAAGCUUUAGGUGAGUUUCAAUCUGUCUGUAUGGAUCGAAUUUAAAACUUACAUUGCUAACUCCACCUUAUAUUAUGUUUUUCAGGUCAUCCAUGGAUUAGAAAUUACAAUGACAUCAAGAUGCCAUUGGACGUCCUUAUAUUCCGUCUUAUCAAAGCUUAUAUUCGUUCUUCAUCAUUACGUAAAGCUGCUCUGAAGGUCUGCAUUGAUAAAACCUGUUCUGAUUUUUCUCCUGUUAUUCCACAAAGAUAUAUGUGUUGCUUCUUCAAAUUUGGACUUGCUUCUAUACAGCAUUUUUCUACCCAGGGCUUUGAAUGGUUGUGCAGUAACCUACUCCCUCCGUCAUUGUGGGACGGAGGGAGUAGUAUUUAUCAUUACAUGCAUACAAUUUCCGUAAAUGUUUUUUCGGGAGCCUACUUUUUGUACCAUACCUUUAUAAGUUCUAGAACGAAAUGCUUGGACAGUUAUGUUUUCUUGCAAUCCUCUCCUGUUAAAAUAACUUAAAAAGGGGAUACCACUUUAUUUGAAAUUCAAAUUUGUGUUCUCAAGCUUUUCUUUUGACACCCAUGCCUGAUCUCUUUUACUUUUCUCUGCAAGCUGCAGCCAUUGACGUAUUUUUCUUGAUCCACUACAGGCUUUAUCGAAGACUUUGACUGUUGAUGAGCUUUUCUAUCUCAAAGGGCAGUUUUCCUUAUUAGAACCUGACAGAAAUGGAUGCAUAACUCUAGAUAAUAUCAGAAUGGUUGGUUCAUCAUAGAGCUCUGAUAUGUUCUUUCCCAUACAUUUUGAAGCUACGCUGCUGACUCUUCCUGUUUCAUCCUCUUCAGGCCUUAACAAGAGAAGCCACGGAUGCGAUGAAAGAAACACGAGUUCAGGAGAUUCUUGUCUCGGUACCUUACUUAUGUUGUUGAUCUUAAGACAUCAUUUUCCUCCAGCACAAAUUGUACUCACUGUAUACCUGAAUUGUCUUUUCAGUUGAGUGCUCUUCAGUACAGAAGAAUGGACUUCCAUGAGUUCUGUGCAGCUGCAGUAAGUGUUCACCAGCUUGAAGCAUUAGACAGAUGGGAGCAACAUGCGAGAUCAGCUUAUGAAAUUUUCGAGAAGGAUGGCAAUCGAGCCAUUGUAAUUGACGAACUAGCUUCAGUAUGUCAUGUCUUCCUCUCCACCCACGUUCAUUUCCUAACUGAUAAAAAUUGGAGUCUCUUCACACAUUUCCUGUGGUGUUUCAGGAACUGGGUCUCAGCCCCUCGGUGCCGCUGCACGUUGUUCUGCAGGACUGGAUCCGGCACACCGAUGGGAAGCUCAGCUUCCUCGGGUUUGUCAAGUUGCUGCAUGGCAUGUCCAGCAGGUCCCUGUCAAAGAUGAGAUAGCUGUUGAUAAUCUCUAACGACAGUACAAAUUCAUGCUGCCCCAGCCCCAGCCCAACUUAGCAAGCAAGGCCAAGACUGCACACUGAGGUCGACACGACACGAGCGCUGCCUGCGCUAGAACCCGCCUGGUUUUGCCACUAAUUUGAGUAUAGAGUUCUGUUUGCGGUCGCCCGUGUACUUAUCAUCACCGUCCUCUUCAAAGUUCAUCAGCAUCGUCUUUGAGUAGGUUAGGAAAAGGAAAUUUCACCCGUGUCUCGGCAACAUGUGAUGCCUCUAACAGUCUCUUAGAAUAGCCCGCCCAGCCAUGUCCUGUCGCUGUGGGCAGCGUUGUAAAAUGCCCCCGUUCAUGUAACUGGAGCAGAGUCACCCUUUUGUCGUCAGUGUGCCGUUAUAUUGAUUGAGUUGAAGAUGCUUGAAUUUUGUGCUGCUCAUCCGGUUUUUGCUUCAACUUUCUUACUUGUUGGAAACGAUUGUUUUGGCAAUGCUUCACGAUGUAUUGAUCGGUGCAAAGUGCACGUAUAUAUGGAGUACAAAGUGGGCCACAACCUCAACUAUACAAAGACUAGGAGGUGGGCCAUACUAUACAAUAUANNNNNNNNNNNNNNNNNNNNNNNNNNNNNNNNNNNNNNNNNNNNNNNNNNNNNNNNNNNNNNNNNNNNNNNNNNNNNNNNNNNNNNNNNNNNNNNNNNNNNNNNNNNNNNNNNNNNNNNNNNNNNNNNNNNNNNNNNNNNNNNNNNNNNNNNNNNNNNNNNNNNNNNNNNNNNNNNNNNNNNNNNNNNNNNNNNNNNNNNNNNNNNNNNNNNNNNNNNNNNNNNNNNNNNNNNNNNNNNNNNNNNNNNNNNNNNNNNNNNNNNNNNNNNNNNNNNNNNNNNNNNNNNNNNNNNNNNNNNNNNNNNNNNNNNNNNNNNNNNNNNNNNNNNNNNNNNNNNNNNNNNNNNNNNNNNNNNNNNNNNNNNNNNNNNNNNNNNNNNNNNNNNNNNNNNNNNNNNNNNNNNNNNNNNNNNNNNNNNNNUAGGCAGUCCUUUCGUCAUGACGUCGGCGAACUGCUGCGCCGUCGGGACGUGGAGGACCCGGAUGCGCCCAAGGGCCACCUGCUCACGAACGAAGUGUAUAUCGAGCUCAAUAUGCUUCGUUCGACGAUGAUGGACCGGGUUGGCGAAGAGGUAAACGGCGGAGACGUUGUCGCAGUAGACGAGCGUAGCCUUGUGAACAUCACAAAGCAACUCCUGGUGCAGCUGACGGAGCCAAAAGCAUUCAGCAACGACGUUAGCCACUGCUCGAUACUCAGCCUCGGCACUCGAGCGGGAGACGGUGGGCUGUCGCUUGGAAGACCAAGAGAUCAGGGACGGCCCAAGGUAGACACAGUACCCCGAGGUGGAGCGCCGUGUGUCCGGGCAGCCAGCCCAGUCCGCAUCAGAGUAGGCGACGAGGUCGGUGGAGGCGGAGGCCGUCAACGUAAGUCCCAAGGACUGGGUGCCGCGUAUGUAUCGAAGGAUACGCUUCACCAGAGUCCAGUGAGAGUCGCGCGGAGCAUGCAUGUGAAGACAGACCUGCUGAACGGCAUAUUGCAAGUCGGGGCGCGUCAGGGUCAGGUACUGCAGGGCGCCCACAAUGGAGCGGUAGAAGACCGCAUCAGAUGCAGGUGAACCCUCCAAAGCGGAGACCUUGGCCUUGGUGUCGACUGGCGUGGGAGCGGGCUUGCAGUUAAGCAUGCCAGCUCGGUCGAGAAGCUCAUGGGCAUAGCGCUGCUGAUGCAGGAAGAACCCAUCUGGCCGUCGAACCACCUCAAUGCCAAGGAAAUAAUGCAGAGGACCCAAGUCCUUCAGGGCAAACUCAUCACGAAGACGAGCAGUAAGCCGCUGGAGGAGCAGGACAGUGGAUGCCGUCAGAAUGAUGUCGUCGACGUACAACAGCAAGUAGGCCGUGUCAACUCCGUGAUGAUACACGAAGAGGGACGCAUCGGAGCGAGUCGAUGUAAAUCCGAGCGUCUGCAGGAAGGCGGCGAUGCGCUGGUACCAGGCUCGAGGUGCCUGCUUCAACCUGUAGAGCGAACGGGAGAGCAAGCACACAUGAUCUGGAUGCGUGGCGUCGACGAAGCCGGUGGGCUGCUCACAGAACACCUGCUCAGCCAGGUGGGCGUGCAAGAAGGCAUUGGACACAUCCAACUGAUGCACAGGCCAUGCUCGGGACACGGCUAGCUGGAGCACGGCGCGGAUCGUGCCCGGUUUAACAACCGGGGCAAAUGUGUCGGUGAAGUCCACGCCAGCGCGCUGCCGAAAACCCCGAACCACCCAGCGAGCUUUAUAGCGCUCGAGAGUGCCAUCCGGAUGAGUCUUGUGCCGAAAGACCCACUUGCCCGUGAUGAUGUUGGCACGGGGUGGACGGGGAACGAGUUGCCAGGUACGGUUCCGCUGGAGCGCAUCGAACUCUUCCUGUAUCGCAGCGAGCCAAUGAGGAUCCCGAAGGGCGGCUCGAGCGGACGAUGGGAGAGGAGACGGCUCAGAGGUGGAAGCAGCGAGAAGAUACUCAUCGCUGGGGUACCGCGUGCUCGGGCGAAGGGUGCCAGCCCGAGUGAAAGAACAUGCGGUGCCCCCAUGUUUGGUUUUGGUAAUUGAUGACAAUCUCUAUGGACUAAUGGUUGUCUUGAGUUAUAUUUGAAGGAUUUGUCCAUAGGAUUUUCUUGAAGUUCAUGUGUUGGUUUCAAGGAGUUUAUGAGUUGACCAAGGUGCUAUUAAGGAAUUAUCCAAAGAUUGGUCAUGCGAGUGUUGAGCUUAUUGCAAGCAUGUCUUGAAGAAGAAGGUUGUGUGAUCAUUCAUGUUUACCUUCAAUACAUCAUCCAAAUGAAGAGAGUUGCAAAGAUUUAAGGUUGAUCAAGACUAAGUCAAUAGUGAAUCAAGUUGAUCAACUCACAAAGCGUAGAAGAUGUACCGAGAGGGAUCAAGUGAUCCCAUGGUAUGGUAAGCAUUGUCCAUUGCACUUUGUGUACUAACCCAUGGUCUAUGUGAGAGUUCUAUGUGGGGUUAGGUACGUAUCCAUGGGCUUGCAUCAAGAGGAAGAUAUCAUACAACCCAUGGAAAGGAUGACAUCAAGUGGUGAUCGUCAUCAAGAUUGUCGUGUGCAAGUUCAAGUGGAGCAUCACGAAGAGAUCAAAUGCUUGAAUCUUGCCAUCCAUUGUGGUGUCAAUGGACUUGUGAAGAUGAGCCGAAGAGUGGCUCACCCAUAGUAGACUAUGGGGGAGCAAUCAUCUAGUCUUCAUCGAGCCAACGCAAUCAAGAAAGGUGGUCCAUCUUGAGGGAGUCAAGAUCGUCAUCAUCUAGCUCAAGUGGACCAUGUGCAAGGCAAAGGUUUGCCCUUGAUAGGUUUUCUAUUUUACCAGUCUCAUGGUGGUAGUAGGGAGACCGGGUUAUAUGAUCGUUUGCCGUACUAUCAAGGGGGGCUCUCAAGUUGGUAGCUUGAUCGUAUCGUUAAUAGAGAGCUCAAACCCUUGCAUCCUUGCAUCAUGUUUCUUGGUUCUUGUUUGGUUCUCUUUGUGAGUCUUAGAGCUUAUGGUCAUCUUGAUGACAAGCUUGAGUUCAUCGAAAACGGAGUUCACAUGCGUCUUCUAUGAUGUUUUCGGUGUUGGAGGUUUUACCGGUCUUUUCCGAGGAAGGGUUCUCACCAUUUUCCUUUGGGACUUUUAUCAUUUGCUUAUUCUUGAUAUUUCUAUCAAGAUUGUGUUAGCCCAUGUCGUUAGCUUUCCAAUAAACUUGGUUUCGUUGAAUUCGGAGUCCGUUUGCAAAAGUUGUGGCUGUUUUGGUAAAGGCUGCAGCGGUACUACCGCGACUAGAGCGGAUGUAAUUUUUUACUACCGCUCCAGAGCAGUACUACCGCGGCUCCUGAGCGGUAGUACCGCCCCAGAGCAGUACUACCGCGGCUCUUAAGCGGUAGUACCACUCCGGACCAAAAUCUCGUGUUUUGCUCAGCGGAAGUAGGCACAGAAGUAUUUUUUUUAGUACCGCUCGCAAGCAGUAGUACCGCUACCAUUUGUGGUAGUACCGUGAGGUCGAGCGGUAGUACCGUGAGGACAAGCGGUACUACCGCUCCGAAGGUUCUUUUGGCCUUUUUGCCUCCUCGCUGUUGUGUUUCGAAGGGGUACUACCGUCCUAGCGGUAGUACCGCUCCUUGGAGCGGUAGUACCGCUCUGUGCGGGCUGUGAGCAUAACGGUUGGAUUCGGGAGCUCCUAUAAAAGGGGGUCUUCUUCCCGAUUCAACUUUAUCCUUUGAGCUCAUGUUCUUUCCCCAUUGUUGACCUUCUUCGAGCUUGCUAACUCUCAAUCCCUCCAUGGAUUCUUGCUAGUUUUUGAGGGAAAAGAGAGAGGAGAUCUAGAUCCACAUUUCCACCAAUCACUUUCUCCUCUAUGUGAGGGGAACCCCUUGGAUCUAGUUCUUGGAGUUCUUGGUGUUCUCCUUGUUCUUCCUCUCAUUUUCCUCCCUAGCAUUAGUUGCUUCGGUGGGAUUUGAGAGAGAAGGACUUGGGCACUUCGUGUGCCCUUGCCAUUGCAUUUGGUGCAUCGGUUUGAGUUCUCCACGGUGAUACGUGGAAGUUACAAGUUGAGAAGCUUAUUACUCUUGGGUGCUUGGUGCCCUUGAGCUUGUUCCUCUUGGGUGCUUGGGUGCCCUAGACGGUUGGUGGUGUUCGGAGCUCAAUCAUUGUGGUGUAAAGCUCCGGGCAAGCGUCGGGGUCUCCAAUUAGGUUGUGGAGAUCGCCCCGAGCAAUUUGACGGGUACCGGUGACCGCCCCCAAGGGUUGCCAAAGUGUACGGGUUCGGUGACCGCCCCCAAGGGUCGCCAUUUGUACGGGUUCGGUGACCGCCCUCAAGGUUCCCUUAGUGGAAUCACGGCAUCUUGCAUUGUGCGAGGGCGUGAGGAGAUUACGGUGGCCCUAGUGGCUUCUUGGUUAGCAUUGUGCCUCCACACCCCUCCAAACAGAGAUUAGCAUCCGCAAGGGUGUGAACUUCGGGAUACAUCAUCGUCUCCGCGUGCCUCGGUUAUCUCUUACCCGAGCCCCUUUACUUAUGCACUUUACUUUGUGAUAGCCAUAUUGUUCUUUGUCAUAUAUCUUGCUAUCACAUAGUUGCUUAUCUUGCUUAGCAUAAGUUGUUGGUGCACAUAGGUGAGCCUAGUUGUUGUAGGUUUUGUGCUUGACAAAUUAACCACUAGGUUUAUUCCACAUUUGUUCAAGCCUAAAUCGUAAUUAUUUUAAAGCGCCUAUUCACCCCCCCUCUAGGCGACAUCCUCGAUCUUUCAAUUGGUAUCAGAGCCUCGUCUCUCUUUAUUAGGCUUUACCGCCUAGAGAGUAAAGAUGUCGACUAGGGGAUUAGGAUUCUCUGACACUCUUAGUUUCGAUGGCACAAAUUUUGAUGUUUGGGUAAUUCGCAUGCUUAAUCUCUUUAGGGUCAUGGACCCAAAUUUAGAGCGAAUUGUAGAUAUGGGUUUUUCUCCUCCAAAGGAUCCCCAAAGAUUAUCUUUAGAGGAUGAGAAAAACUCUUAUCUCAAUGCUCAAUCUUCUAAUGUGCUUUUCGAUGCUUUGAGCAAUGUAGUUAUAUUUCAACUCAUGCCGUUCCGAGAUGCUCAUGAGUUGUAGACGAAGCUUCAAGAUAAAUAUGGUGUGUCCAAGAUUUGUGGGGAUGAUUGUUCUCCCUCCACCUCCGGUCGUAUAGUCUUCUCAACUUCUUCUACUUCACCUACAUGUGGUUUUCCACAAGGUAAUGACAUGGUGAGUAGUGUUGGUCAUUGCAAUGAUGAUAGUAUGCUUAUUGUGGAUGAUCCUUCAUCACUAUAUUAUUGCAAUGCUCCUUCUUUGGGCUUUAACACUUCGAGCACUCCAAAUAUUUCACAUGCUUGUGUUGAUAGUCCUUUCAUAUCAUGUAGAAAUUGCUUGACUAAAUCUCAUGAUGAUAUGCUUGCUAUGUCUUGUUGCCAUGAUAAAAAUGCAUCUAUUUCCUUGAAUUGUUGUGCUAACAAUGUAGUGGAAAUCGAACACUCCAUGGAACAAGAUGUGGUGUUUAAUGGUGCCUCAAGGGAUCCUACAUCAUCAUCUAUUGCUUUUUGCCUUAUGGCUAAGGUGUCAAAGGUAUGUCCUACUUUGUACCCCAAUAUGUCUCUUGAUGAUGAUGUUGAUGCUAAUAAUGAUGAGGAUAAUGAUGAAGAGAAUGAUAAUGUUGCCUCCUUAAAAACUAAGGGGGAAAUGAUUUUUAAAGCUCUUCAUAAAAAUAAAAUUGCUCGUUCCAACUUCAUGGAAAUAAUGUCCAUUGCCAUUGAUGGCAAGAAAUACAUUGAGGAGUUGGAAUCUCAUCUAGAGGAGCAUGAGGCCACCAUUGAUAAAAUGGAAGGUCAUGGGCGUGAUUACGCUAAUGAGAUUGCGGACCUCUCUCAAGCUCUUGAACUUGAACAAACCACCAAGGAAUCUCUUGAGGAGACUUUUGCUCUAGAAUUGUCUAAAGUGAAGGAAUCUACUGAUAGAGCUCUUAAGGUGGCCAAUGUUUUUGAAACCAAAAAUGCUAAGCUUGAAGUUGCUCAUGCUAGACUCCUUGAGGAUUUUGAGCACCUCGAAAAUGGCUCAAGGGUCAUCAAGGGUGAGCUCAUCAAACUCACCGAGUCUCAUGCUCAACUUGAAGCUUCUUAUUUAAAAGAGCUUGCCAAAUUGCCUUCUCCUCUUGUUGUUAAUGAUGAUGCUUGUGCUACUAAUUCUAUUACUUGUGAAGCAUCCAUUUUGAAGGAGAAUGUUGAGCUACGGGCUCAACUUGAGGUGCUAUCUUGCAAUUAUGGGAAAUUGGAAGAAAGUCAUGAAAAGAUCUCAAGCUCUCAUGAUGAUCUUCUAGUAUCCCAUAGUGUGCUAAAGAUAGCUCAUGAGGCCAUGAUUGCUAAGGUAACAUCUAGUGAGCCUCAUGUGGAUACUAGCACUACUUCUAGUCAAAAUAGUAUAUUGCCAUGUGCUAGUCCUUGUAAUUCAUCUACUCACAAUGUUGGUACAUCUUGUGAUGAAUUGCUUUCCUUGCCUUGUUGCUCUAACGAUGAAGCUUAUACUUCCUCUAGUACUUGUGUUGAGACUAACCAUGUAGAGGAAAUCAAAGAGCUCAAGGCCCAAGUCACUUCUUUGAAGAAAGACUUGGAAAAGUGUCAUGAAGGGAAGGCCACACUCAACAAUAUCUUGAGUGUGCAAAAAUCCCCCAAUGACAAAGGUGGACUUGGAUUCAACUCCAACAAGAAGAAGAAGUCCAAGUUGAACAAGAAGAAGAGCCAAGAACAAGUCAAGAAUUCGGCCAAGAUUAUUUGCUUCAAGUGCAAAGUUGAAGGGCAUCAUGUUAGAUCGUGCCCAUUGAAGAAGAAGGCCAUUAGUGUCAAGCAACAAGGGAAGAGGGAACACGUUCAAUCUCAUGCUCAACAUCAAGUUGAAGAAAGGCCUCUUCCCAAGAAGACUCAAGUUAAUGCUUCUCAAAUUGAGAAAUCAAGUGAGAAGAAAGUGAAGAGUAGACGUUGCUACUUAUGUCGUGAGAAAGGUCACGUCGCUUCUUCAUGCACUAGUGGUAACUUAUCCAACCCAAUUAUUAUUGAUGAUAUCUAUUCUCUUGGUAAGGAUAAGGUUGGCAAUGUGUUUGCCAAGUUUGUUGGUACUCAAAGUGGUGUCAAGCAAAGAACCAUUUGGGUAGCCAAACCUAUUGUGACUAACCUCUUAGGACCCAACUUGGUUGGGGACCAACAAGAUCAAACUUGAUCAAUAGGUGUUGUUGGAGGGCAUUGGAGACUUGGCUACAUUAUGAAGAAUUAAGGGGACUUCAUCAUUCUCAUUGUCUCAAGCCAAGUCAAUUGGAUUAUCAAGUUUCUAUCUUAUAUCCACUGUGCCUCCUUGCGGUAACUUGUACUUAAAUUGUUUACCUUGAAAGUUACUUGCCCCCUUGCAUGUUUUGGUUUUGUUCCUUGCAUGUGUUUGUAUAUGUUGCGCUUCCAACUUGCUUAUCUUGAGCAAUCAAGUAUGUGUGUGUUGGUUUGCACAUCAUGUACGUGUGCGUCGUGCGUUGAGCCUUUUUGCUUCCUGUUUGUAUCCUAGUUGGCUCGUGUGAGAUAUCAAUGGAACAUCCCAUUUUGGGGGAGUGAUGUGCUUUGUGCACCUCACAAUCCUAUAAAUGUGUGUACAUGAGGAAUACCAUCUAGUAUUGAUAUUACAAGAUUAUCUAGUCGCUAGGUGCUAUAUCUCUCAUGAGAAAUUCAAAUUCUAAAAAUUCCAUUGAUUAUCUCGUGUUGGAUCCUCUUAUUGCCUCUUGUUUAGUUCUUAUUGGUAUCACAUUAUGGGGGAGUAAUAUGCUAAGUGCAUAUUACAAGCCUAGAAAAUAUGUACAUUUGAGAUAUUGUCACCUAGAAUUGAUAUUGUAAAUUAUCUUGUUCCUAGGUGGCAUGUUAGCUCUACAAGUUGCAAUUUUCUUGUGUGUGGUGUGAAGAUGAUGUUGGAUAUCCUUGCUAUCUACCACCGGGAAUUCUUUCCAUCUAUUUCUUGUCUUUUGACAAUCGGUAGUCACUUAUGUGUGGUAGAAUUUAAUUGAUCAUCUUUACAUUGGCUUUUGUUUAUUUACCUUUUUUCUCUUGCCAAGGUUUGUGUUAACUCCCAUUGUCUUCCAUACCACUUGUGGAUCUUGUUUAUUUCUUGUUCUUGUCUAGUGUUUUCUAGAUAUAGUGAAAGCAGUGAUCCCACCUUGUGCAUUUUGUAUUCAAAUACAAAUCCUAUAUAAUGCACAACUCGUGGGGGAGCUAUUCUAUUUUCUUCACUCUUCUUGUGAUCCUUAUCAAGUGUGUUUUGGUGGAAGGCAAGCCAUUUCUUUUUGGUACUUUGUGCCAUCAUGAAACUUUGUUGAGAGCUUGGUAUGUUUGGAACCAUUCUCUCUUUGGGAGUUUGACAUCUUUAGUUUAGUGUGUAUCAAUGGAUAUCUCAUUCCUUGAUGUAUCUUUAAUGAUAUCUUCCAAGUAAUGAUUUCUCCAUUUGGUAUCCUUUUCACUUGGCGUUUAUUUGUCUUUUGGUUUCGGGUUUUGAAAGUCUUGAGCAUGCAUGUUUACUUCAUGUAUUUCAUUUGGCAUGCUUUCUUUCUUUGACUCAAUAUAUAUGGGAAACUCCACCUAGUCUCAAUUUGGAUGAGAUGUGCAUGAAAUUCAUUUUCAUAUCUAUAUGCACAUAUUUAUGUGGAGUUUGUCCUAUGUAUUGGUGUUUCUAACUAUUUGGUCCCGAUGAGUUUGGGUACCGUUUAGUUUGUGUUGUUCUUCUAGGAACAUUUGGAGAUGCAUUGGAUGCUCGGCUCACUCACAAGGAAGGUGUUGUCACCAUGUGCAUAUUGGAGUCAAGCUAGGAUGAUCAAUGAACUACUAUCUACCUUCAAUUGGUAUCUACUACAUCCUUCCAAUGAUAUCUCGGUAACAAGUAUCUAUUCAUGCUUUCUCCUCUUGCAUUCAACCUUGUGUAGGUUGCAUCUUGGCAUGAUUUUCAUUUCAUAUCUUGUUAUACUUGUUUCCUUUCUCAAAGCAUCCCAACGAUGAUCUCUUGUUGCUAGUUGUGAUGCCCUUGAUGGAUGUGUGUUUGGACUUCAUUUAUAUACAAUAAGACCAUAUCUAGCCAAGUGCUAUGCUUUCAAGCAAAUAUCUUAUUGGUAUAUUUAUGACUUCCUUGUGGAUAUCUUGUUCCUUCGUGUUGUAACUAUUUCGGGUGUACAUUCUUCUUUGUAUAUAUAUAUAUCAUCAUGAUUUCGUCUACAUAGAACCUUAUACACUUGAGAGAAAUUACAUCUCUAGUUGAUAUCCUUUCUUUCACGUCCACCUUGUCUUUCUUAUGUUAUUUCUUUUGUGGCUCCGUGAAAGCUUUUGCCUUGAGUGCGUGUCCUCUAUCGUUGCAUCUUGAUGCACUCUUGUGUGGUGAAGAUUAUUUUCCUCAUGCUUAUCGUUACGAGGCUUUUGCCAUCUUAAUUGGCAUGCCUCGUCUUGAUGAGGCUUUCAUCUUCUAUCUUCACCACGGGUUGUCACAAGCAUAAGUUAUUUAUAUGCUUAUUAGUAAGCUUAUGAACCCAUUUGCUGGUUGUGUGUGGGAAUGACAGGCCUUGCACCGUGUGCCUCAUUCUUUCAAGACUAUGUUGAUGCUUAAUACUCAUCCUAAUUUUAGUCUUCUCAAGUGCUUCGCCAUGACUCACACACAUCAUUUUGGUUGAGCCCAUUCUUAAGUUGCCUCUUUUACUUGUUGCUCAACCAUGUGUUUGUUGCAAGUACUAGGCUUUGUUUCCUAUAUGCUCACUUGCACUUGUUGUAAGUUUCUAUUGAUUUUGGGGGAGCUAUGAUCCUAUUUUGUGCACUUUCUAUCCAAUUACAAAACCUUCUUUUUUGUGCACAAAUCAUGGGGAGCUUCUCUAGUUUCUUUAGAACACUCCUCGUCUCAUAUCAUAAUAUCCUUCAUUCAUGUGGCUCAUAGGAUCUUUGGUCUAGUUGGUUCAAUUGAUAUCCUUUGAUUGCUUGCUUCAAUUGGUAUCUUUUGAUUGCUUGAUUGCUUGUUUCUCUCUUUGUUAUGUCUUUGUGGCAUAUCAUUCUUUUGCAAUCUUUGGGCCUCAAUAUAGUUUGUGUUCCUCCAAGUAUUAACCGUUGGAUAUGUGUAUUGCAUUCCACUCUCUUGUUGAAAAAUACACAAUUUAUGGAGGACCACAAUUUAUAUUGGUCUUCUUAGCUUUUCGCCCAUUUUGGCAAUCGAUGCCAAUGGGGGAGAAGUUUCAGAGAGUUUUGCGGAGAAGUUUAGAGAGUUAUCUCCUCUUGCUUUGGUUUUGUUCCUUAGCAUUUGCAUCUCAUACGCAUGCACUAUUGGUUGUUGUAUUGCAUAGUGAAGCAUAAUUCCUUAUAUAAACUCUCUUGAAAGUGAUUUUCAUCAAUUACCAAAAUGGGGGAGAUUGAAAGAACAUGCGGUGCCCCCAUGUUUGGUUUUGGUAAUUGAUGACAAUCUCUAUGGACUAAUGGUUGUCUUGAGUUAUAUUUGAAGGAUUUGUCCAUAGGAUUUUCUUGAAGUCCAUGUGUUGGUUUCAAGGAGAUUAUGAGUUGACCAAGGUGCUAUUAAGGAAUUAUCCAAAGAUUGGUCAUGCGAGUGUUGAGCUUAUUGCAAGCAUGUCUUGAAGAAGAAUGUUGUGUGAUCAUUCAUGUUUACCUUCAAUACAUCAUCCAAAUGAAGAGAGUUGCAAAGAUUUAAGGUUGAUCAAGACUAAGUCAAUAGUGAAUCAAGUUGAUCAACUCACAAAGCGUAGAAGAUGUACCGAGAGGGAUCAAGUGAUCCCAUGGUAUGGUAAGCAUUGUCCAUUGCACUUUGUGUACUAACCCAUGGUCUAUGUGAGAGUUCUAUGUGGGGUUAGGUACGUAUCCAUGGGCUUGCAUCAAAAGGAAGAUAUCAUACAACCCAUGGAAAGGAUGACAUCAAGUGGUGAUCGUCAUCAAGAUUGCCGUGUGCAAGUUCAAGUGGAGCAUCACGAAGAGAUCAAGUGCUUGAAUCUUGCCAUCCAUUGUGGUGUCAAUGGACUUGUGAAGAUGAGCUGAAGAGUGGCUCACCCAUAGUGGACUAUGGGGGAGCAAUCAUCUAGUCUUCAUCGAGCCAACACAAUCAAGAAAGGUGGUCCAUCUUGAGGGAGUCAAGAUCGUCAUCAUCUAUCUCAAGUGGACCAUGUGCAAGGCAAAGGUUUUCCCUUGAUAUGUUUUCUAUUUUACCGGUCUCAUGGUGGUAGUAGGGAGACCGGGUUAUAUGAUCAUUUGCCGUACUAUCAAGGGGGGCUCUCAAGUUGGUAGCUUGAUUGUAUCGUUAGUAGAGAGAUCAAACCCUUGCAUCCUUGCAUCAUGUUUCUUGGUUCUUCUUUGGUUCUCUUUGUGAGUCUUAGAGCUUAUGGUCAUCUUGAUGACAAGCUUGAGUUCAUCGAAAACGGAGUUCACAUGCGUCUUCUAUGAUGUUUUCGGUGUUGGAGGUUUUACCGGUCUUUUCCGAGGAAGGGUUCUCACCAUUUUACUUUGGGACUUUUCUCAUUUGCUUAUUCUUGAUAUUUCUAUCAAGAUUGUGUUAGCCCAUGUCGUUAGCUUUCCAACAAACUUGGUUUCGUUGAAUUCGGAGUCCGUUUGCAAAAGUUGUGGCUGUUUUGGUAAAGGCUGCAGCGGUACUACCGCGACUAGAGCGGAUGUAAUUUUUUACUACCGCUCCAGAGCAGUACUACCGCGGUUCCUGAGCGGUAGUACCGCUCCAGAGCAGUACUACCGCGGCUCCUAAGCGGUAGUACCGCUCCGGACCAAAAUCUCAUGUUUUGCUCAGCGGAAGUAGGCACAGAAGUAUUUUUUUAGUACCGCUCGCAAGCAGUAGUACCGCUACCAUUUGCGGUAGUACCAUGAGGUCAAGCGGUAGUGCCGUGAGGACGAGCGGUACUACCGCUUCGAAGGUUCUUUUGGCCUUUUUGCCUCCUCGCUGUUGUGUUUCGAAGGGGUACUACCGCCCUAGCGGUAGUACCGCUCCUUGGAGCGGUAGUACCGCUCUGUGCGGGCUGUGAGCAUAACGGUUGGAUUCGGGAGCUCCUAUAAAAGGGGGUCUUCUUCCCGAUUCAACCUUAUCCUCUGAGCUCGUGUUCUUCCCCCAUUGUUGACCUUGUUCGAGCUUGCUAACUCUCAAUACCUCCAUGGAUUCUUGCUAGUUUUUGAGGGAAAAGAGAGAAGAGAUCUAGAUCCACAUUUCCACCAAUCACUUUCUCCUCUAUGUGAGGGGAACCCCUUGGAUCUAGUUCUUGGAGUUCUUGGUGUUCUCCUUCUUGUUCUUCCUCUCAUUUUCCUCCCUAGCAUUAGUUGCUUCGGUGGGAUUUGAGAGAGAAGGACUUGGGCACUCCGUGUGCCCUUGCCAUUGCAUUUGGUGCAUCGAUUUGAGUUCUCCACGGUGAUACGUGGAAGUUACAAGUUGAGAAGCUUAUUACUCUUGGGUGCAUGGUGCCCUUGAGCUUGUUCCUCUUGGGUGCUUGGGCGCCCUAGACGGUUGGUGGUGUUCGGAGCUCAGUCAUUGUGGUGUAAAGCUCCGGGCAAGCGUCGGGGUCUCCAAUUAGGUUGUGGAGAUCGCCCCGAGCAAUUUGACGGGUACCGGUGACCGUCCCCAAGGGUUGCCAAAGUGUACGGGUUCGGUGACCGCCCCCAAGGGUCGCCAUUUGUACGGGUUCGGUGGCCGCCCUCAAGGGUCCCUUAGUGGAAUCACGACAUCUUGCAUUGUGCGAGGGCGUGAGGAGAUUACGGUGGCCCUAGUGGCUUCUUGGGGAGCAUUGUGCCUCCACACCGCUCCAAACGGAGAUUAGCAUCCGCAAGGGUGUGAACUUCGGGAUACAUCAUCGUCUCCGCGUGCCUCGGUUAUCUCUUACCCGAGCCCCUUUACUUAUGCACUUUACUUUGUGAUAGCCAUAUUGUUCUUUGUCAUAUAUCUUGCUAUCACAUAGUUGCUUAUCUUGCUUAGCAUAAGUUGUUGGUGCACAUAGGUGAGCCUAGUUGUUGUAGGUUUUGUGCUUGACAAAUUAACCUUUAGGUUUAUUCCGCAUUUGUUCAAGCCUAAACCGUAAUUAUUUUAAAGCGCCUAUUCACCCCCCUCUAGGCGACAUCCUCGAUCUUUCACCGAGAGCGAGUUAUCGGGUGGGGCAGCGGGUCCGGAGGGGAGGCUGGUGAGGAUGAAGACGAGCCCGCCUCCGGUGUGGCCGCCGCGGGCGAGGCUGCCGGCGUGGCGGCGGGCGAGGCCACCGCGGGCGAGGCCGGGGACACCGGGGGCGUCGCGGGCGUCAAGGGAGGUGCGGCCCCUACGACAGCCAAUCGGGGAGAGACUCGACCCGUGGCGCGGGGGGCACCCUCAAAGCCGGGAGGCGGCCCAAGAGAGGCAUGUGGGCGGCCAUCACCGGGAGCGGGCAAGGCCGCAACAUCCGAAGGUACCUGCUGGAACGGAAAAACCAUCUCAUCAAAGUAAAUGUGUCGUGAAGUGAUCACCCGAUGAGAGAUAGGAUCAUAGCAGCGGUAGCCUUUGGUGUUAGGAGGAUAGCCGAGAAAAAUACAGGCCACAGACCGAGGUGCGAGCUUAUGAGAAGCAGUGGAAGCGAUGCUAGGGUAGCACAGGCAACCGAAGAUGUGGAGCUCAGCAUAGGAGGGUGGCGUGCCAAACAAGAGGUGAUGAGGUGCAAAAUUCCCGCGAGUGCGACAAGGACGAAUGUUAAUGAGUAGUGAUGCGGUGGCAAGCGCGUCGGACCAAAAACGUGGGGGCACGUUGGCGUGAAAGAGGAGGGUGCGAACGCAGUCAUUGAGAGUGUGAAGCAUGCGCUCAGCGCGGCCGUUUUGUUGCGAAGUGUACGGGCAAGUGAGACGAAAGAUUGUGCCGUGUGUGGCGAGAAGGUUGCGGAUCGCAAGGUUAUCGAACUCCUUCCCGUUGUCUGUUUGCAACGCAUGAAUGGGACAUCCAAACUGCGUGGAGACAUAGGAGUAGAAGGUGGUGAGAGUGGCAACAGAGUCCGACUUUCGCCGUAACGGGAAGGUCCACACAUAGUGCGAAAAAUCAUCAAGUAUGACAAGGUAAUAAAGAUGGCCCGUGUUACUUGCAACAUGAGAGGUCCAGACAUCACUAUGAAUUAACUCAAAUGGGUAUGAUGCAACAUGCGAGGAAUUGCUAAAAGGAAGAUGAACAUGUUUGCCGAGGCGACAAGCAUGACAAGUGUGAUCGUCGAUCUUAUUACACGUGAAUGAAAAACUCCGAAGAAUAUGAUGAAGGGUGGCGAUGUUGGGAUGACCGAGACGCGCGUGCCAAAGGUCCACUCUGGCGGAAAGCGCCAUGGGUGCAACAAUGAAUGAGGUAGGUGAGUGGACCGGGUAGAGCUCGUCGGGGCUGUAACAUCAGUGGAGCACCAUCCGGGUGCGGGAAUCCUUGACAGAAAAGCCAAACAUGUCAAAUUCAACGGUAACAGGAUUUUCACGUGUAAGAGAACGAAUGGAAACAAGAUUUUUAAUGAUGUCAGGAGAAACAAGCACAUUAGAAAGAUAUAAUGGCAUGGAGUUAGAAGGAAAAGCAGCAUGGCCGACAUGAGUAAUGGGCAUGGAAGAACCAUCACCCACGGUAAUGCGAGCAGCGGUGUGAACGGGAUGAGCGGCAAGAAGGUUACCAGGGUUGGCGGCCAUGUGAGCCGUGGCUCCGGUGUCCAUAUACCAAUCGCUACCGCCAGUGUACUGCUGUGGCGUGGGGGCGGUGUGGAGAGCCGCUAGGAGCGCGGGAUCCCAAGGCGCCGGCGGAAGGGCCGGGGCGGACGGCGCCGGUUGAGGCGGUGGCGCCACAAACCCAUAGCCCGAGGGGCCGUAGAGCAGCGCGGGCUGGUACACCUGAGGGGCCGCGUACAGGGCCUGAUGAGGGGCUGGGCGGGCGCCGAAGGAGCCGGGGACGGGGGCACGCGGUAUAGGCAUGGAAUACGCGUGCACAACCCCCGUCCAAGGGUUCUAGCCGGCCUGCCAGGGAGCCGGUGGUAGCUGGUGCUGCGGCUGGCGGGGCGCCCCGCCGUGGGCAGCCGGCAGCUGCGGCAGCUGCGGCUUGCGGCCACCUCGGCCGCGACGCCCGCCCUGGCGCUGCUGCUGCUCGGUGGGGGGCGGAGGGGCCUGCGGCGGCGCCGGGUAGGGAAACCCGGGCGGCGGCGCCUGGAAGGAGCCCGGGGCGGGCCGCGGCAGUGGGCGGCGCACAGCCACGGGUACCGACGGUGAGAGCCGUGUGGGUGGCCCGGGUGCGCGACAUCCGCAUCUGCCGCUCCUCCUGCUUCAGGUACGCGACGAUCUUGGGGAAGGUCGGAUUGGUGAUGAGGGGGAUGUUGGAGGCGGCGUUCCCGAAGUCGUCGUUCAGGCCGGCGAUGAGGGUGUUGAGGAGAAGCUCAUCAGAGACCUUCUCGCCGAGGUCACGGAGCUCGUCAACAAGUUUCUUGAGGCGCAUGCAAUAAUCGUCAACAGACGACUCAAGCUGUUGGCACCCAAAAAACUCGCCGUGCAAGAAGACCUUGCGUUGGAGCGCGUUGUCGAUGAAGAGGCCGUUGAGCUUGGUCCAAACGGCGUGAGCGUCAUCGUCGGCGGAGACCACCGUGUGGAAGAGGUCCUUCGAGAUGGUGGUGUAGAACCAAUGGAUGAGAGUGGCGUCGAUGGCCGUCCACUCCUCAUCGUCCUCCAUGAAGCGGGAGUCCACGGAGCCAUCUAUGUGAUCCCGGAGAUUGUACUCACGGAACACGAGGGAGAAGUACGUCUUUCAGGCGUAGUACAUGGAGGUGAGGUGGUCGAGGACGACGGGAACCCGGGCGAGGAUGUUGAGGUCGCGGAUGACGACGGGAUCGGGACCUUCGAACGGGUUGGUGCGGCGGCUGCGGGUGGUACUGGUGGAACCGGGGGAGGCCAUGGCCUAGAGGGGCGGUGUGGCGGCGCUUGGGCGGCGGCGCGGCAGGGAGGAAGGCGGCGUGGCUNNNNNNNNNNNNNNNNNNNNNNNNNNNNNNNNNNNNNNNNNNNNNNNNNNNNNNNNNNNNNNNNNNNNNNNNNNNNNNNNNNNNNNNNNNNNNNNNNNNNNNNNNNNNNNNNNNNNNNNNNNNNNNNNNNNNNNNNNNNNNNNNNNNNNNNNNNNNNNNNNNNNNNNNNNNNNNNNNNNNNNNNNNNNNNNNNNNNNNNNNNNNNNNNNNNNNNNNNNNNNNNNNNNNNNNNNNNNNNNNNNNNNNNNNNNNNNNNNNGGCGAUGAGAUCGCGGCAGCGGCGGCGGCACGGGUUUGGGUUAGGAUCGUAGGUCUGAUACCAUGUUGGAAACGAUUGUUUUGGCAAUGCUUCACGAUGUAUUGAUCGGUGCAAAGCGCACGUAUAUAUGAAGUACAAAGUGGGCCACAACCUCAACUAUACAAAGACUAAGAGGUGGGCCAUACUAUACAAUAUACUGCCUCCAUUCCAAAAUAGAUGACUCAACUUUAUACUAAAGUUAGUACAAAGUUGGGUCAUCUAUUUUAGAACGGAGGCAGUACAUGCAUAAACCAUAUAUUCAACGUUACUAAUUGUCUUGACUCUCUGAUUUUACCGUGCGGCCUUAUGGUGCCAGUGAAGGAUGGGUGGCUGUCGUCGCAUGGGCAAGUGCACUUAUGUCAUUUUUGUAUGGCUGGUACUCAGUGAUAUGUUUGGUUGUUGUCUGAAACGAACCGUACCAUUUCUUUGGUUAUAGCAAAAAAUUUGGCCCUUGAUUUGUUAUUUAUUUUUUGUCACUUGAUCGUAGGGUGAAUCUCGAUAAAUCAUCGGUGUUUUUUAGUGAGGGUUGCCCUCAAACUACUAAAGGGCAAGUCAAAGAAUGAGACCUUCAAGUACUUGAAGCACAAGCACGGAAUAUGGAGCAAGAUUCCAAAAGUGUCCUUAGCUCGACCUCAUUUUUUUGGAAAUGGAGGCAUACCCCCGGCCUCUGCAUCAUGAUGAUGCAUACAACUCUCUUAUUAAAAAUCCAGAAAGUAUUGCCAAAAAGGUCUUACAGCUCGCAAAUGAAGCAAAACAAAGUAAAUAAAACAAAAAAAUACAAGCGGACAAAGACAACCGAUACGGUAAUAAUAAGGAUAAGCUCUCUAGACUCCUAUCCUGUUAUGCAUACGCCAUACGAACCGGUUGAAUAUAACCCAAGCCACCAUCUCCCAUUGGUUGCACCCAGUAACCAAAGGCUCCCUGGAGUCCAUAGGAGUGAGUAAGGACCACGUACGGAUCCAAGUUGUAGCUUUGAAGAUAACCUGCAAAAAAGUUAAGUUGUGUUGUCUAUUAAAAAUCAUAUCAUUUCUGCAGUUUCAUAUAGCCCAUAAUAUGCACAUAUUCCAAUCCGAAUACGAGAUGUUGUGAUCUUUUCAACCCCAGCUAACCACGUCCCAAACAAAUACGCAAUAUCUACUGGGGGAUUGAUAUUAAAAGCUAUAUGAAUCGUUCUCCACAGUAACUUGGCAAGUGGGCAUUCAAGAAAUAAAUGUUGUAUUGUUUCAUCCUGAGCACAAAAACAACACCGCGAAUUGCCUACCCUCGUCGCCUCUUAAGUAGGUUAUCCUUAAAGUCUGAAUUUUUUUAGUUUUAAAAAACUUUUAUUUUUGUGAUAAACUUGACAAAUGUUUUAAUACUUGCAAAGCUUCAUCAUGAAAUGUCACUCGUGUAAGUCAAUAAAACAAAAAAUCAACACUCUAAAAUGCUUUUGAAAAUAACUUUUUUGCAGUAUUGAUUUUUUUCCACGCUCCACGACUUCCACAAAUGUUAUUUCAUGAUGAAAAUUUGCAAGUACUUAGAACAAAUUGUCAAUGUUUGACCCCGAAAAAUCAGUUUUUUUGCAUUUUAAUGUUCACCUGAGGUCAUUUGAGCUCGAGCUAAGAACAUUACAUCCACAAGACUCAAGGUUAGCUUGAAAAUUUAUUGUCUCUCUGUGCAUGUGUGUGUGGGGGGGGGGGGUAUGUGUUGAUCAAGUCGGUGGUAUAAAGCUUAUCCCAGUUUAUUCAAUGUCCUAUUUUGAACUCCCUCUUGGCCUUUGUGAGUAUAUUAACACUCUUAUUAGGAAAUACUAGUGGUGAAGCAAAGGAGGUGAACAUAAAGUGGCUUGGGUUAGGUUUCUGUGAUUUUGAGUUGUUUAACCUUGCACUUCUAGCAAGGCAAUCAUGGAGAUUAUUAGAAGAACCUAGCUCUUUGAGUGCAAGAAUACUGAAGGCAAUUUACUAUCCAUAUAGCUCAAUCCUUGAUAUGAAUCUUGGCUCUCUCAUCCAUCAUAAAUCUGGAGAUCAAUCAUUAAAGUGCGUGAUAUUCUAGCUCAAGGCCUUAUAAGAAGAAUAGGUGACGGAGCCUCCACUGAAAUAUUGUGUCAUAACUGGCUUCCUCGACAAGGGAUGAUGAGGCCAAUUACUACACGUACAAAGGCAACCAUUAGCAUCGUAUGUGACCUCAUAGAUGAGAUGUAUAAAUGCAAUCAUUAAGGUGUUUUUACAAAGACUUGCCCAGCGGUGAUUCCAUGUUAUUAUCUUCUUCACCAUCGAAAUAUGUCUAGCACUUGCUCGUUAUGUGGUUGUCAAUACUCACGGCAACAUUCCUUGAUUGAUUGCUUGGUGUCGCCUCUUCCUAAUGAAGAAGUUCCUGGGUAUAUGAUGUCUAUUACGCAACUUUAUUCUUGUAGACUCGUGUUGGGCCUCCAAGCGCAGAGUUUAGUAGAACAAUAGCAAUUUUCCCUCAAGUGGAUGACCUAAGGUUUAUCAAUCCGUGGGAGGCGUAGGAUGAAGAUGGUCUCUAUCAAAUAACCUUGCAACCAAAUAACAAGGAGUCUCUUUUGUCCCCAACACACCAAAUACAAUGGUAAUUUGGAUAGGUGCACUAGUUCGGCGAAGAGAUGGUGAUACUAGUGUAGUAAUUAAUGAUAGUAGAUAUUGAUUUUGGUAAUAGGAACAAUAAAAAACAGCAAGGUAGCAAUUGAUAAAAUGGAGUACAAACGGUAUUCCAAUGCUUGAAAAUGAGGCCUAGGGUCUGUACUUUUGCUAAUGCAAUCACUCAACGUGCAACGAAGAAUCACUCCAAAGUUCCUAUCUAGCAGAGAACAUAAGAAGAAAUUGUUUGGAGGGUACGAAACCAUCUCAAAGCUAUUCUUUCCGAUCAAUCUAUCCUAGAGUUCGUACUAAAAUAACACAAAACUAUUCUUUCCGAUCAAUCUAACCAAGAGUUCGUACUAAAAUAACGCCGUAUGAUACACAUCAACCAACUCUAAUGUCACCUAGAUACUACAAUGUCACAUGCGAUAUGCAUCAAACAAUUUCAGAUUCAUAAUACUCAAUCCAACACAAAGAACUUCAAAGAGUGCCCAAGAUUUCUACCGGAGAAACAAAGACGAGAACAUGCAUCAACCCCUAUGCAUAGAUUAACCCAAUAUCACCUCGGGAAUCCGGGAAUUGAGUGCCAAAACACAUACCAAGUGAAUCAAUAUGAUACCCCAUUGUCACCACAGGUAUUCAUAUGCAAGACAUAUAUCAAGUGCUCUCAAAUUCAUAAAAGUAUUCAAUCCGAUAACAAGGAAAUCUCAAAGGGAAAACUCAAUUCAUCACAACAAGAUAGAUAAGAGAAAACACCAUAUGAUCCGACUAUAUUAACAAACCCCGUGAUACAUAAAGAUUGUGACAUCUCAAGAACACGAGAGAGAGAGAGAGAGAUAAAACACAUAGCUACUUGUACAAACCCUCAACCCCGUGGGUGGACUACUCCCUCCUCAUCAUGGUGGCCGCUGGGAUGAUGAAGAUGACCACCGGUGAUGAUUUCCCCCUCUGGCAGAGUGCCGAAACGGGGUCUAUAUUGGUUUUUCGUGGCUACAGAGACUUGCGGCGGUGGAAAUUCUGAUCUAGGGUCUUCCCGAGGGUUUUUGGAAUUUUUGAUAAUUUAUAGGGCGAAGAGGGGGUACGGGAGGCCACCGAGGUGGGCACAACCCACCGGGGAGCGCCUAGGGGCCCAGGCGCGCCCUGGCGGGUUGUGCCCCUCUAGGGGCACCCCCGAGGUGUUGCUCUGGCCAUAUGGAUGUCUUCUAGUCCAUAAAAUCCACAAGAAGUUUCACGGUGUUUGGACUCCGUUUGAUAUUGAUUUCCUGCGAUGUAAAAAACAAGCAAAAAACAACAACUGGCACUGGGCACUGGGUCAAUAUGUUAGUCCCAAAAAAUGAUAUAAAGUUUCUAUAAAAUCAUUGUGAAACAUCCAAGAAUGAUAACAUAACAACAUGAAUACUUCAUAAAUUAUAGAUACGUUGGAGACGUAUCAACAUCCCCAAGCUUAAUUCCUACUCGUCCUCGAGUAGGUAAAUGAUAAAAGAAAUGAUUUAUGAAGUGCUAGCAAAGUGCACAAGUUUGAGCAAUGUCAAUUUAAAUCACUUUUCCCAGCAUCAUAACAGCAAUUAUUUCUCAUAAAACUUCUCAUGUUAAAGUAGCAAUCAAUUCACAUGUUAAGGUUCAAACAUUGAAUUCUCUUGAAACUGAACAACCUAUAUUCUUAGUCACCAAACAAUUGUAAUUCAACUUAUUCAACAGAGUCUAAGUAAGAGCUCCACAUACUCAACCAUCAUAUAGACUUCUGUGAUUGCUAACACUCACCGCAUACGCAUGAGCAAAAUGUCUCAACUGGACACAUAGAAAGAUAGGGGCUUAUAAUUUCGCAUCCCAACGUAUUCACCUCAAGGGUGAUGUCAAUCAUAAUAACUCAUGCUACCUAUAUCCAACUGGAUAUAUGUGCGUAGAUCUUUCCACACCACAUGAUGCUUGCCAAAAGAGAAAAUAAAAAGGAAUAGAGAGAAGAACUUUGACUCUUGCACUAAAGUAAAUACAUAAAAGUAAAAGAUGGGCCCUUCGUGAGGGAAGUAGAGGUUGCCAUGCGCUUUUUGUUUGUAUGCUAAAUCCCUUAGUGCAAGAGAACAUCAUGUUAUAUUGCCUCUUAUGAUGGAAAUCUUUAUUAUGCAGUCUGUCGCUUUUAUUCUUUGCCAUCACAAGUUCGUAUAACGCUCAAUUUUCUCUUACACUAAAUGAUCUAACACUUUUAGAAGCAAUUUUUAUUACCUUAUUGAUGACAACUUACUUGAAGGAUCUUACUCAAUCCAUAGGUACACUACAAAAAAAUACACUUCCGUGAUGAUACAUGUUUGUCACAGUAGGUCGCAUUUUUUGUCAUGCAUGUACAUCCAUGAUGAUUUUAUGACAGAAUCAAGAUAGUCAUACCUGUGCUGACGUAAAAGUGUUCCAUGACAUUACCAAAAUUAUCAUCACGGAAGUGUCCACUUCCAUGACGAUAAAUCGUGCGUCACAGAAGUCUUUCGUCAAGGGUGACCGAUACAUGGCAUCCAACGUAACGGAACACCGUUAAGCUAUCGGGUCGGAUUUUGGAUCCGAUAACCCAUUAAUAGCCCAGACCAAUGGGAAAUUUCCACGUGUAAAAUUCUGAUUGGCCGAAGGGAACACCUGUCAGCUCAUCAGUGGGCCAGAUGUCGCCCGUCCAUUGGAGGAGACAUGCCUAUGAUACGUCGACACGUGACUGGGCCCAACAGAGGCCCAUAUAGGUUAAAAAGGCUGGCCCAGUCAAAGGCCCGUAGUACUUAAUCAGGUACUAGUGGGCCAGCCUAAUAACGUCCUGCUUAAUAAAGGCCCAUUUACGGCCUGAAGCUAGAUCUGGCCCGUUAAUUGUUCGCCCAAUAUUUGGGCCAUUUACGGCCCGAAGCCAGAUCUGGCCCGUUAAUUGUUCGCCCAAUAUUUGGGCCCAUUUGUGGCCUGAAGCCAGAUCUGGCUCGUUAAUUGUUCGCCGAAUAUUUGGGCCCAACUACAACCCAGUGACUUUUGGCCUGUUAGAGGCCUGAUGUAGACAUGGGCCCAUUUCAGCCCGGUGUGACUUUCGGCCUGGGAAUGGCCCGUGCUGCCCAUGGGCCAUAUAUGGUCCGACGGGACAUCGGGCCCACUAAUGGCCCAUGCUAAAGGUGGCAACAGUUAAGCCCAACGUGACUUUGGGCCUGUUAAAGGCCCGUCGCAUAAUUCGGCCCGUUGAUGCCUGUACUAAGCUUUCGGCCUCUUAAAGGCCCAUGAUAUCAGUGGGCCAACUAAGGCCCGAGAUAUGUUUCGGCCUGGUAAUGGCCCGUGAGCUAAUUGGGCCCAAAAAGGCCCGGUCUACAUUUCGGCCUGCUAAAGGCCCGUCGACGACUAGUGAAAAUUGAGGCCCAACAUGCAUUUUGGCCUGGUAAAGGCCCGUGGUUUCAUCCCGGCCGUAAUAGGCCAGUACAAUAUUCAGCCUGUUAAUGGCCCAACGCUACCUGGGCCAAACUAAGCGCUGGGUCGACAAAAGGCCCAACUAAAAUAUAGGCCGGUGUAAGUUUGGGCCUGGCGCAAUGUGUGAAGACCCCAAUCAUUCGGGCCCAAGAAAGACACAGGCUGGCCCAAUUGUGGCCCGCUAAAAACUAGGCCCGUUAGAGUCGAAUGUUUCGGCCCGGUCGACUACAUCUAUUUUUUUCCAGAUAGCGAAUGAUGGCAAUAACUAGUAGGAAUUAAGAACAAACCUACUCUAUACAAUAAAGAAAUUACGACAUAGUAACUAAGAAUAAACCUACACUAUACAAUAAAGGAUUUAAGGUAUAUUACAUCCACUGGGCAUUGAAGUUCGCCACCAGUGAUCAUAAAGCGCAACGAAGAAGCAGAUUACAAAAACUGGGCACCAUUGCAGCGUAACAAAAUAAUACUGAACCGAGACCACUUCCAAGAUAGUUCAAGAAAGGUUAGCCUUGCGGGGGAACUGCUGCGCAAGCUGCUGAGCAAGGCUGUGAGACCGGCCUAGCAUGUUGGUCAUAGCUUCCAGGUGUAGCUGUUUAGCGAUGAGGUUCUCAUUCGUGUUCUCCGCAAUCUUUCUUAGAGAUAGGACUUUAGGUCGAAGUUGAGUUGCAGAAUGACUUUCUGCUAGAACUUGGGACUGAAGAAGUCGAACUGAUUCAGACAACGAAUUCUGUGAGCUUGUCUGACUGUUAGUCUCAAGUAACUUGAACAUUGCAUCAAGACAAGACUUUGGGGUUGUCUCGCUAUCUUCAAGAUGUUUUGCCUUCUUUGCUGCAAUAUAUGUUGGGUUUGUCUCACAACCUUCAGCAGACUUGUGCAUGCCAUCAGGCAUAUCACCCUGAAACAAAGCAGAGAGAUGAAAGGUUUUGCACGUGUAUAAACAAAGAUGAUAACUGUGUUGUCAAUUCCAUCCAAUUUCAAAUUAGAAAAUAAAGAGUAAGUUCAAAAUAUCAAUAGCAUAAUUUGGCAUUGUUCAUAAUGCGGGGAGCUUCACCACACUACUGGAUUACCAUAUCAACAUAACAAGCAUAGAUGAAGGGCAAAGAAAAUCAUUGUAUCUAUUUUGGAUAAUGUGCAUGGCAUGUUGUUCAUAUCAUCAACCACAUUAGUAUGAUAAAAUAGGAGAUGACAAGGUGCAAAAGUGGGCUGCUUCACCACACACUGGAUUAUAGAUCCACAAAAACAAGCAUACAUAUAGGGAGUAUUAAGUAAUGUGCAUGGCAUGAAUAAGGAAUUUGGUUUUACAAGUAAAACUUAGAACUUACGGUUCUUGCGAACAUGCAUUUUGGUAGAAACAGCAAACUAAACAGCAGUUAACGUUAGGGAGUAUGAGAAAAUUAAACAACAGUUGAGGAUAAAGGCUUUAGAAGGACUGACUUACAUUAACAGUUAACACCGGCUUUAUAAUGCCCUUCUCCAUGUCAAGGGAAGGAUAACUCAAGAAUUUCAGCACAUAAUCUUCUUCAUAAGCAUUGCCUGUACUCUACAUUUUGUAGAGAGUAAUUAUAGAUAUGAUAAUACUGGAAGGGAUAGAGGAUAAUGAAGAUAAGAUGUAGAUUGAUGCUACAUAAUCAACUACCAAUCCCUGGAAGUACAAGCGUUAUAGGACAAAAUGUACUGACAAGAGCAAUGGGCUACACUUCUGCACUGGCAUUGUCUGUGUAUUCUACUUGUUGGUAAGAUUAAAUAUAGAUCUAACUUUUUUAGUAAAUGGUGGGCGAGGGAGAUAAGAUGCAGAAUGCUACAAAAAUGAACCAAUCCCUCUUCCCAUAAUACAAGAGUGUUUUGAACACUGGUGUACUGUACAAAAUGUUCUUAUAUUAUGGGACGGAGGGAGUAGCUGUUAAUGUAAGUAUAGUGAUAGACCACGUUCAGUCCUUACAAGAGGACUGCAGAGCUAAACCUCUUCAAAAGCAUUGGGUUGAUUCUAAAUUUAUGUAAGAGUCCAUACGGAUCUUAUAAUGUCCACCAAAUGGACGAUUACGAGGCUAACAUGUGCAGUGAUGCUACAUAAUCAAACAACUAUGAAAGUAAGUAUGCUCAUACACGGCGAUAGGUACUCACAAGAGCAAUGCAGUGUGCAGUAUAGUUGCGAGAUUUUGUGGUCCCUUGAGAACGAAUGUUCUUCUGCUAACAGUUUUCGUACAAGUGAGACAUUAAGGCAAAUGCAGAAAUGUAGUUCAAAUUGUGAUGUGAUAUCAUAGACAAUACCUUAUGCUGCAGCCGAGACCAAUAUGUAACAAGAUUAUUCCAGGCACCGUCGGAUAAAUGUAGCACCGGAGACUUUACAGAAAUUUCGUUCAGAGGCUUGCCAUCGAAGUGCGGUUGCCUCAAGUAGGAACGAUACUUCAUCAACGAGUGCUUGAAAAGCGCAACCAACCCUUGCUCAUCAUCACAAUCCAGUUUUCUCCUCGCCUAUUUAAAAGAAUGAAAUCUUGUAUCUUCUGUCAGCAGAAACAUAUGCAGUAAUGACCGUGAAUAACAUUAGUACAUUACUUACGCGUAAGUUGCGGAGAAAGACUGGAAAUUGUUCUGUGUCUGCGGUAUAAUCUUUCCAUGAAGGAAAGAUGCACACAAAGUUCCUGGCAACAACAUAAGCUUCAUCUUAUAAACUGGGAAGAAAUGGAACAUGGGUCCUAUUUGCUGCAAUUGGGGUUCUCUCUGGUUCGAAAAGGGAUUUGGCAACUGGAUUUGGUGUACUCUUUGCUGGAAUGGGGGUUUUGCAUCGUACAACUGGUGCUAUGUCAACUGGCAUAAUCAUACUGUUUGCUGCAGUUGGGGUCUGCUGAGUUGGGGCAUCAGAAAUGACCAGUGUAGUAGGGCUAGAGUCUGAUAGAGUUGGGGUGUUUUGUGGGUCAGGUGAUAUUGCAACUACACCUAAUGGGCUAUUUGAUUUAUCAGGUUCCACUACCUUUUCCAAAUACUUUGCUUGUGCUCCUCCACGAUCAGCAAUCACACUCUUCCUUUUGAACGUCUGAUACACAAGAACAACAUUUGAAUGGAUAAAUAUGGUAUGAUGACAGAUGGAAUAUUUACUAAAAAUGGAUAGGCAGGGCGUAUUCACAUACAUGAUGUGUAAACUAAGCUAACGGAAGUUCAACAAAGUAGAAGCAAUGCAAAGCAUUAGUUGCAAGAUAUGUGUGAGCAAUGUAACCUUAGAAAGUUAGAGCAAGUACCUUGAUGGGUGAAUAAGAUAGGGCAUCUUCCUCUGACUCCUCCACUAGGGAGCUACAUUGACUUAGGUCUCCCUCUAGCUCAGAAUCAUUGUUAGGAUCAUAUUCUGAGCAUGAAUCUGUAGGUGGAGAGCGUUUCCAUUGCAUUGCAUCUAGACUUGAUUUCAGUCCCUUAAUGCCAAGUUUGACAGCCAUGGCAUUGUUCUGCUUUAUUCUUUUCAUGCGCGCAAGCUCAUAAUCAUUAUGAUGCUGUUUAGAAUCAGACAUUCAUGAAAACAUAAAAAGUAGUCAGAUUAUCUAUGGAAUGCAUUGCGGAUUCAACUCGAAGAGUGUCUCCCUAUAAACCCCUACAUAUGCAAAGUUCACCCCCAAUCAUGCUGACCAGACCACACACAGAAAUACAAACCCCUUAUGUCUCUAUACCAGGCAGGCACACAUUUCAAAACUGAAGUAGGAACAUUAGAAUCAUAUGAAAUUCGUAUUUGAACAAAUAAACUAAGAAAUUAUGAGUGGCAUAAUGUUUAGCUUCAAGGGUGGAGUGUUGGUAGUGCGACACAAAGCAAGUAGGCAGAUUUUAUUCCAUGUAAAAGAUUGAAACCUAUGUAAAAGCUGGAAAUGGCACUUUCUUUCUAUACAAUGCAGUGUUCGUUGCCCACACAUCAUGGAAGAUAUCACAUAGAGAAAUACUAUUCACUCAUGUCUACGGUUUCAGUAUUUAGAAACAGGGUGGUCCACCCUAAAAGAAUAUUGACAACAAAUAUUACAAGGCAAGCAUAGAUGUAGUGAAUCAAUCAUUUACUUGUAGCUUACUAGGACAAGUAUGCAGAAUUGUAACUGCAGUAAGAGACCGUCCAAAAUAUGAAUGAAGAAGUUUGUCUAACACUUAUUGUUUGCAACUAAUCGACGUGAAUAAUUGGAUAUUAUAUCGAAUGAGUAAGAAAGACAAGUAAAAUUGUCAACAAACCUGGCUUGCAGUAGUAAUUUGGGUCAAUGUCACUACGACCAACAAUCCAAAAUGACUAGUGUCUGUUAUGAGGGCCGGAAUUUUGAAAACCCUAUGAACUUUAGAGGUACUAAAGAUUACCGAAAUACAUCUGAACCAUUAAGUGUAGGUAGCACUGAGCAGACAACAAACCCUAAUGACAGUCCUGCCUAAUGAGUAAUGAAUCAAUUAGAAAAUGGGUGAUGAGGAGUGGCUGCUGAGUGUUGAGGACGUAUCUCAGGAUAAAUCGGGUUGGCUUGGUGGGUGCUGCAUGCCUGACCCCUGAACGGACUGGGAAGGUAGGCACGGCGGCGCGCCCGGGCAGCGGUGAUGCUGUUGGGCGAGCGGCUCCUGGCCUCCUGUUAGUCCGGCGUCUCCUCCUAGAGUCAUGCCGUCCGGGGACAGAAAUUCGUCGGUGAGGCAGGCGGCUGGGGGCGAGUAGAGAUCGGAAGUGUGCAGCAGAACAGAGGGGAAUCAGGGCCUGGGACGACCCAAAAUCCCAGGGUGGGCCGGCCCACCGUGGGCACCCUAUAGAGAUACACACCCGAGCGGCGAACAUGCAUUUUCGAAACUAAUUUACGAACAUUUAGCUGACCAAUUAAACAACUCUGUUUUAAUAAUAUCAGAUUCGUAUUUGAACAACUAAGCUUGUGUAGCUUGAUGGGUGGAGCAGUGUUAUUAUGACACGAAGCACGUAUUCUGAUUGUGUAGUGAUCAUAAAAGGGGGAAACUCUAAGCAUAUUUUUUUUAGAAAAAGAGGGUUUCCCCUCUGAUUUCUAUUAAAGAAACCACCACGGAACCAACAUGAUCAAUUAAACCCUAAGCAUGAUAAAUUAAACCGUAUUAUGGCUGUGCCAUGGCAGAUUUGAAGCUGCAAACCGGAGAAAUGAUAUUUAGCAUGCAUUGUUUGCUUCGAACUAAGAACUAAAUUCUAAGAGCUGAAAAGAAAGUAGAGUAACCAAGUUAAGAUCUAUUUUCUGGUUGAGAUCAAAAAGUUGAGGAGAUAUGAAGUACCACCUCUCUUGCGGCGCCGUGUAGGCAUCAGGGGUGCGAUGGCUGUCAGUGGUGUUGAAGCAGAUCUGCGGCGGUAGAUGGGUGCAUCGGGGGAUAAGUCCCGUUGCGGUGGAAGAGAAGGUCGUGUGAGCGGCCCCGGCAAAGAGGACGAUGACGUCGAUGAAGCGAGAGGACGUGAUGCAAGGCUCUUGGUCCGUCGCCGUGGAUGAGAAACGUCCAUCUCUAGCAGUGGGCGACGCGGUCUUGGUAGGUGCUCCGGUAUGGUGGAGGACGGUGGCGAUGGAUGUGGUGGAGGACGGUGGCGGUGGAUGGGGUGGCGGAUGGAGGCUGGUGUGGGGAUGGGGUGUUUUAGCGCGGAUGGUGUAUGAAUGGGAAAAUGGAGGGAGAGGUACGGGGAACCAUGUUUUUGGUACGUGCCUGUCUGAAAUAUGGGAAAAUUACGAACUUAGCUCCCAUUUAAAAUUUGGACGUCUCGUCGGUUGGGGAUAGGACGGUAAUCUCGCAUCUUGCCGAUAUUUGCCUAGAGCGAUUUCGGGCGAGGAGAGGGUGGUUGGCGCCCAUGGUUGGCGCCCAUGGUGUAUGAACGGGGCUGACAGGUAGGGUGGUUGUGUCACGUCUGAGUGAAGUUACAAACCUGCCCCUAUUGAAAAUAUUUGUCUACAUCGAUUUCGACCGAGUUGAGUUUGUUUUGCCGCCCACUGUGUAUGAAUGGGGAAUGAAGGGAGAAACAGAGGUCUUUCAGACGAGCUUGAAUCAAAUGUGUUUUGCCGCCCAUGUUUGACGCCCACCAUGUCGGAAUGGGCUCAGAGGCGGUCGUGUCACGUCUAAUUGAAGUUACUAACCUACCCCUAUUUAGAGCAGUGGAAAUCAGGCUGAUGAAUUGUCCGUGUAAUGGGUAGAUAGUAAUUUCCAUCUCCCAAGCACUUCACUUCGGGCAGCCGACAUGGGAGUGGACAUUUUGCCGCUUCUUUCGAAUUUUGGGACAAUAAGCAUCCACGUUUGCCCUGGCAACUAAAUUCGAAUCCAUUUUGUAUUCCUAUAUGAAUCUUUAUAAAUCAUUCUAUGUGUUUUUAUAUAUCUUCAAAAGGACGACAAAGAUGUAUUCCACUGUCAUAUAUGAAUAUGGCUUACAAAUGCCGAUACUCAAAUUCAGAAGCUAGAAUCCAGUUUAAGGUGAAUUCAAAUAUUUGGAACACUUCAUGUCCAACUCAAAUGUCACACGCAGCAUAAUGUGUAUACCCAUUUAGAUAUGUACACAAGCGAUGUAUCAAGAUUCAAAUACCGAGUCAAUCAACCAAGAAUGUACAGAACUAACAGACAUAUAAACACUUAUAGAGUAUAUGGAUCAAUAAUAUCAACAAACAUACAUAAGCCAGGCCGCUGUACUUUUUUUUGCUACAACAACAUCCUUUUUUUAGCUAGCAUCUUGGCCCUUUCCGAUGCGUGCCACUUAUGGUCCAUGUAUACUUCUAUUAGUGCUGAAUGCACAUUCAGCCUGAUUGGCAUAUUUGUAGGUCUGCCACAGCAAUCCAAAUGAAAUGUCUCAGAAUCUUAUCAAUUAAUACAAACUUGUGCUCAAAUAAAAUUACAAACCAAAAAACAAAAAACAAAAAAAC
This 79599-nucleotide long non-coding RNA is filed under the name Triticum aestivum (bread wheat). RNAcentral's name for it is "long non-coding RNA (TAES_LNC022101)". The stretch from base 48151 to 48237 matches the Rfam family "MIR1120/MIR1122 microRNA precursor family". Lineage: Eukaryota; Viridiplantae; Streptophyta; Magnoliopsida; Poales; Poaceae. The record is from RNAcentral.